UCUCUCUCUCUCUCUCUCUCUCUCUCUCUAUAUCUAUAUAUAUAUAUAUAUAUAUAUAUUAUUUAUUAUUUAUUUUUACUUUUUUUCAGACACAAAAAAGUUUACACAUGGUGUUGGUGGGGUGAGUUGGCCCUGUGUUAAAAAAUAGAUCUGUAUGGUGGCAAAGAUAAUGCAUUGGAGGUAAUGGAGUUGCACUGCAGUUAAUCUAUUUGGUGGUGGUGGUGAGGUGUUGGCAACAUUUUGAGUACUGUGCGAUGGCAGUAGUGUUAUAUUGUAGUUGACGAGUUUUGUGAUUAACCGUGUUAUACGUAACCAAAAUUAUAGUCUGUGACCAUACUUGUGUUAUAUGUGACUAACUGUGACCAGAUCGUCUGUGACCAAGUGAAUGUGUCACUGACAUAUGUUGUCGAUGACUAAUUGUGAUCAAAUUUGUAUUCAUUGUGACUAUCUGUGACCAAUUCAAUAUAUACUGUGACAAUUUGUGAUCAAGUCACAAUCGAUCACAGUUAAUACAGAAUUAGUCACAACUUCCACAAUAAAUACAUAAUUGACCUCAAAGAGUCACCAUAAAUAAAUCUUCACACACCACAGCCGAGUACCACAAUCCACUACCAAUCACUACCACCUUCACCUCCAACUUUACUACAUUUACUGACAUUUGUUAUCUGUGACUAAUUGUGACAAAUUUUAUCUUCAGUGUGACUAUCUGUGACCAUAUCAGUCUAAUUUGUGACUCUAUGUAACCAAAUCAUAUAUAGUCAUAGUUAUUAUAGAUCUAACACAGACAGUCACAAUGAAGAUAGACUUUGGUCAUACUCGAUUUUCCUUGUCACUGUCAUCACUCCCAACAACAUCAAUCAAAUGCGCACCACCAUCACUUUCAACAAAUCCUAACCAUCACCACUGGCAUCACUGCACCGGACCACACUACUACCAAUACAACCUAAUAGCAUUGCAAACAAUGCCAGCACCAUGACCAAGACCACCACCGCCAAAUUCAACAAAAAUCGCCCCAACCACAAUAUCUCCCUCCACUGCCACCAACAAAAAUCAGUCGCCAUCAUAUCCAACAAAACCACCGCCUCAAUACCACUCCCACCGCACCAUUACCACAGUUUGAAAAGAUCUCAUGCUCGAUUGCAUGAACAAAAAACACCAAAAAUUAUGACCAACCACCAUCAAAAUCGACGAAAUUCCAUAUCAUUGGAUAGCCCUCACUCCCCUCUACACAUAACCCAACACUAGCCCUCACGCCACCAAAUUUGGAUAGAAUCAAUGGCCAAAAUCACCUUCCAUGCCCUUUCCAUAAUACCAGUUGACUAUACUCAUUAGGGCAACUAACGCGGAGUCCCUUGUGGGUCACCGCUUCGAUCGCAUGAUUCAUCAGCUUUGAAAGGCGUUAGCCAUCUCCCAACGCAUCGUCCCCUGUGGGUCAGCACACCGAUGGUAGAUGAGCUCUUCACCUAGCUUUACAAACCUCGGCGCAACUGACGCGGAGUCUCUUGUGGGUCACCGCCUCGGUCGCACAACUCAUCAGCUUUGAAAGGCAUUAGCCAUCUCCCAACGCGUCAUCCCCUGUGGGUCAACGCACUGGUGGCAAAUGAGCUCUUCACCUAACUUUACAAGCCUCGGCGCAACUGACGCGGAGUCCUCUGUUGAUCACCGCCUUGAUCGCACGUUUUCUCAGCUUCACAAGGCUUUAGUCAUCUCCUAACGCGUCGUCUCCUGUAGGUCAGCGCACGAUUGGAAGAUAAGCUCUCCGCCCAGCUUCAUAAGCUUCGAUGCCACUGACGCAGGGUCCCCUGUGGGUCACUGCCUCGGUCUCACGUUCCCUUAAUCUUUAUGAAGUGCCUUCCCCAAAUGCGUUGUCCCAUUUAGGUCGAAACAUCGAUGGCAAAUGUGUUAUUCUCCCUGCAGAAUCACCUCAUACGACUCAGCGAAACAUGAAAGCCCGUCACUAAACAACGAAUGAUCAACCCAGAGGACGGCCCGCCCACAUCACCUCGAUUAUCACUUGCCUCAACCAACAGGUGUUUAGCACAUCUGCUCACUUCACCCUUUUACUCUAGCACCUCAUCAGAAUCCACAGUACUUACUCCAAGGCCGACAUACAUAGUUGGGAAAACAAGUCCACCCAUGAUAUGAAUAUUCAUGCCUGAACUUGGGAGGACCACUGUUACGUCCCUAACCAAGCCACUUCCACUUCGGCACUAAAACCACUUCGACAGAAAGGCACAUCAUUCUCCAAAGCUCUACGUGUCCACCCGAAGUGGUUCCAAAGAGAUACCAACCACUUCGAAACAAAGUCACAUCACUCUCCGAAGCUCCACGCGUCCACCCGAAGUGGUUCCGGAGUGAUGCCAAUUCCUAUCAACCUCAACAUGACGCACUGCAAGGUGAAUAGAUCCAAUGAAGCAACCGAAGUGUCCCUCAACGCCGAAGUGUUGAAGGGCCUGAGGCACUCCCUUAACAGAUCCCUCCGUCGCCACUGUCAGAAAGAUAUCUGUCAGGAUCUUGACGUGACGUCUCCAUAGAUCUAGUUGACAUGACACGUCAACUUUAUGUUAACUCAACUCAGAAGAACUAAUUGCCCACCCACACUAGAUGCGGCUGAGUGACGCUAUGAGCAGACGCCUCACACCGUCAGAUGCAUACACGUGUCCCACAUCCAACGGUGUUCUACAUCUAUAAAUAAUCAAGCAAGAGACAAAGGUAAUGAAAGUUCUUAUAACUUAGCUCUCCAUACUAAGAAACAUAUAUUCUCCUCCCCACUCUCUUGCACCACUGGAGCACUGUUCCAAUCACCCAACGCUGACUUAACCGUCGGAGUGUAUGCGACCGCCACUACCACUACUGGUCCCGAUCGUGUGCUUCUGACCGUGCGUUGUUGUUCACAGGGAGGAUUACGUGGAGUAGCUACCCGUUGGCCACGUGGAGGGUCCAAAUAUCGAGGUCAACAGAUUACGAAAACAAGAUCAUCAGCAUUUUUAAUGUGCAUUAUUAGCUAACACUUGACAGUAUAACAAACAAGAUGUUUCUUUGUUUUCUUCAUUAGUAUGGUCUAACUAGCUCUUAUAAACCUUGUUACCGAACGUGGUGUUUAGACAAGAUGAUUUCCUAGCUACUAUGAAUCAUGUGACAAAAAUUGAGAAAAUUAGGAUUCUUAUCAUAUCUAGAUGCCAUGUCAUAGCUAAUCUUCUAUAAGCUAUGUUGAAAUCAUCCUCUACUAGAUUCCUUAAUAUCUGUAAAAUGUGUUUUCAAAAGUCCCCAAAGUGUGCUUUUGUAAGUGAAAAAACAUUUCUUAAGUCUCUUGCCCACUUGGCAUUCGCUGGUUGGUUAAUUCCUUUUCACAUGGAUUUAUGUUGGUUGAAGAGUGGGCUGGACAGUUGAUCUAAUUCAACAAUUGUGAUUUAGAUCCAUAUUAUUUUUUACCUUUGGCUGGACAUUUGGACUGGUGGAAGUCUCAUUUUCAUUCUCUUCGUUUUUUUUUUGGUAUCUGACGAUUUUGGGAUUUUCAUGUUCUUUAUCUCUAUAGAUCAGAUUGAUUGGUUAACUUGUCUUGUAUAUUAUAUCUUGGCCUUGUUUGUGGCCUUAGCUCUACUGUAGAUUCCGAUUGUGGUGUUAUUUGUGUAUAUACCACCUUGACCAGAUGUUGUUUUUGAGGUUUUUUGUCCGAUGUUGAACUGUAAAGGGUUAUACUACACUUGUAUUUGGGUAUUGUGUCAAUUAGGCAUAGAUUAUUGUGAGAUCUUUGAAGGGUCGAUGAUCUACUGUUGAGUCGGUGGUCUGAUUGUUGUAAUCCAAACUUUUGUUCUCUCUUGAGAGGUUCUUGCACAUAGUGAUGCACUCUUACCUCUGAGCCCUCAGAGUAGGCGUUUGGCCAAACUGGGUGACCAUUCUUGGGUUGAUACUUUAUUGUUAUCUUUGGUGUUAACACACAUUUUACAAGACCUACUACCAUAAUAUCUUCAUAAUCAUUUAUAAAUUUGUAAAGUGAAGACUAAAUGGUUCAUGCAUUUAACCAGUGGUGUUGAACACCGGUAUCAACAUAUCAUAAGUCCUGUUAAAUAGAUCAUAAUUUUUUGUAUUUAAUUGAAUCUGUAAUUUAAUGUUACUAGUAUUGUCACCUAAACAAGUAUUAAAUACUAGUAGUGCCAUGUCAUGACUGGAUCAACAGGGGCCUUCGAAAAGUGGUGAACCUUACUUCACCAACCGCAAUAAGACUUGGGCCAGCUCAGACCAGUGAGUGAGCUGUUUUUUGCUCUCUUUUCGAACGAGCUAGCCUACGUCAAUUGUCCUUGUUUAAUACAACUAGGCACACCUCUGCCGCUUAGUCUUUUCAUAAUACUAAUUUAACUUUUUGUUUAUGAAAAAUUACAAUAACACUAAUCUAUCUAGUUUGUAACCACUGAAAGAGAAAUUACUCGAGUUUUGUUGAAAGAUGCUCUUUGGGAUUGGAUCAAUUGGAUGGGAAGUUCAAAAUCAUAAUCAAGAAAACUGGCCAUCAAGUAUUUGCAAAUGAGGAUAAUCCAAGAUAUUGAAUGAUCCAAGUUAAAUUUAUUAACUUCAUGCAAGAUUUAGGUUCGGAUCAACCGAAUCAAUACAAAAUACACAAAAGAUUUUAACAUUUUGAAGUAAUAACCCAUUACUGAAGUCAAGGUUCAGGUACAAGUUUACCAAGAACAAGUGUCUUUCAAAUUGACAGAUUAUACAAUGCUAUAAUCAUAGUAGACAAAUCAAGUCCUAACCAAAACGAUACCACCACUCCAAAAACACGUCCAUUCAUGUCAAGACCGAAGAUAUUAACAUUUGGCGAUCAUUCUCAGAUCAGAAAACUUCAAUUUACAAAACCUAUCAACCACUGACAAUGAAUCAACAACUAUAGAAGGUACAAGCAGCUACAAGCUAUACGACAUAUGCAAAGAAACUGCACAUACACCCAUCUCAACUAACAAAUAUUUCCCUAUUUACGCUACAUCCAAUAAGUUUGAAAGACUGUAAAAUUUCUAGCAUCAAUUUCCACCAGAUUAUGCUAUGUCCAAGUUGGAUGAACCAGAUGUAGAAGCCCCGGCUUCACCGGUCACGUUCUUUAAUUUCUGAGAAGGUAACUCACAAUAAGACAGAGAUUCUGGCACAUCACCAAUGUCUAAAUAUUCAGGAAGCUUCUCAGAAAGAUCCACAGGGGAUAGCUGUAAAAGGAAACAGGAUGAUUUAUAUCCGGCUCUAGAAAACAAGGUCUAAUUGAGUUGAAAUCAAUAAACAUAAAUAUGAUUAUCUAUUGCAAGCCCUUAAAGAGCAUAAGCUAACUGAAUAGAAACAGAGUGACAAUGAAAGACAACUCCAUUCAUUAGAGAACCAACAAAUGAACUAAUCUUAUUAACAUUUAAACAUCAACUAGAAUGGACCCAAAAUUUUUCAUCACACGAGCACUGCAAAGGAGGCUAAAUAAUAAGAACUGUGUCAAAUGCUAACAUUUAACAACUCAACAAAUCCUCUCAGAGCGAGAGAGAGAGAGAGAGAGAGAGAGCACUUGAGGUCAGUUCUGCAGCUUCAAAACAUCUGGUUUAAAAUCAUAACUAUAAGCGAAAUUUUAUUCCUAAUCCUCGCUCGAUGAUGGGUUGAGUAUGAAGGCUGGUUUAUGAUAGGCAACAUCAUCAAUAUAUAUAGUCUAAAAGAUUAACAUGUCAUCCUUCUCAUACUUCUGUCGAAAGAGUCCAUUCCUAUUCCUUUCCAGCUCAUAUGUGUCAAUUCACCUAUCGAUCUUUGUCUACUACUCUUUCUCCUGCAAUAUUCUACUAGCCUUGAAUUGAACCAUUGUACGGAAAAUCACAAAACGUAAAGAAAGCCAUCAAUUAUUUUCUGAAUGAAAUCAUCACUCCAAUGCUACUACACCAUCACAUCCCCCUACAGUUUGUUCUCAAUUAUAUUUGCUAGAUAUAAUUACUCUAAGAUCUUCCACUCAAGUUUACCAAGAAUGGACUUUCUGUCAAAAAGUAAACGCACAAUCUGUUCAUUUGAGACAUGGAAUCUGAAUAUCAGAUUACAUUAGAUAUACGCUUAAUAGCUUCAUAAACGUGCCUGUAUUUUUGUAAGAUAUCAGUUCUUUUCCUAACCUAUCCUUCAAAUGAAUGAAGUAUUAAUCUGUCUGAUAUAUGUUUUUAUUAUGUGUGAAGCAUCAUGUAUUAGGAAUGAGGCCUAACCUUCCCUCUUAGCUUUUCUUCUUCUUCUUCUUCUUCUUCCGUCUCCUGAUUCUGCAUCACUACGGCCUUCUUUUCAAGCUUAAGAACCUCGGAGAAUCACUAUGAUCAUCAAAUGACGUUCUCUUUUUACACAAUCCCUAAGUCAUCUUCUUAAGACCUUAACCAAAGAUUAAGAGCACAGCUUUAAUCUACGUUUACAAUCAACUAAACAGACAAAAUUAUAACAAAAGAAACAAAUUAAUGCAACCUAGUUCUCAAACAUCAAAACUUUAGGUAGCUCAGUGGUCAGGCCAUGAGUUUGCUCCCCAAUGGUCACCAGUUCAAAUCUCCUUAGGGUCACUGAUGUGAAUACCCGACUGUAAACUUCAGAGCCCCGUAGGAUUAGUUGAGGUGCACAUAAGCUGACCCGAACACCCAUGAUCAUUAAAAGAAAACACUAGUUCUCAAACAUCAAUUAGAGAUAGCAAUAGGAACAUGUUAUCAACCACACAUAGCAUAAAAGUUGAACAAACAACUCAAAAGGGUGAAUGCCCUUGCAAAUCAGAAAAAAAGGCCACGUGAGAACAUCUAAAAUUGGAAUGCACGAAAACAAGUGAACAACAACCUAAACCUUAUAAAUAUGGGAUUGGCUACAUGAAUUCUUUUUCAACACUAUGAAAAUCUAAAGUAACUAGAUUCCUAGAAACCACCACAACUCAAGUUGUUUUGGUCUUCACCCGUUCUAACAUGUUUGACAAAGACUACAUCUCUUUUGAACGGAGCUUCUUUAGGCCUACUAAGAUGCAUCUCAACUAUCUAAGUCAUCCUACUCUUGAUUGGUCAAAUUUUUGAUUGCAAAGAACAUUUACCUCAAGUUGAUUCAGCAUGUCAACUGCAGACUCCACAUCACAGUUACUUGUUGAAUAGACUUCAGAAAGGGAAUCCUUAGAUAUUCCAGGAAAUUUCAUCUGAAGAUAUGUUAUAUCCAUGUCAAAUUCUUCCUCAAGUGUAAACUUUUCAGCCAUCGUAUUUUGGUUAUGUGAUGAUGAAGCAUAGAGUUCACCACCACAAUGGUCCUUCAGCUUAGAAAGCUCAGCAGUUUGGAGAAUAUCAGUGCAUUGGAUAUAGCUUUGAGAAACAUUUUGGGGCUGAUAAUGUGUUAAUGCAUCCUUCGAUUGAUCUCCGAACCAGACAGCUUCAUUUCCACAAUUUGAUUCUUUUGUAGAAAAUUCAAAAUCUUCCCCUUUAUCAACUGUCCCCCUUUCAGAGAAUGGUAUGUAUGAUGUUGCAUUGGGAUUUAACUUUGAUGUUCCUGGCUUCAUGGCCGCACUGUGUAAAACAAUCGACACUGGAAAACAUAAAAAAGUAUGUCCCUCCAUUAAGAGUAUCUAACAGGUUCUUAUUAAAAAAAAAAAAAAAUCUAUUCAUUUCGCCAGGGCCAACCUUAAAAUAAAUAUAUGGUGUUGAACUUUGAAAACAUUUGCAUGGAAAUGAAUAACUCGAAAUGAAAAUGACUAGUGGCAUACUUAGAUCUUAAGAUUCAAAAGUGUCUGAUAUAUCCCCUGAUUUCAACACCAAAUAAAAGUAGCUGUGGACUAGUUUAACUGUUACAGAUACAUUCAGACCCCUGAUAAGAUAAAUAAACUAAGAAGGUCAAGUCAAGUUGAAAAUCGUGAAUGUUGACUACAGGAUUCCAUAUGCAAUGCUUGGCAAAAUCUGGGAGAUAAACUGAACUUCAACUUGACCCAGAACAUCAUGGUAUAAAUUGACACGCCCUUUUUUGCCUUUCCAAUUAUUUUUAAAAAAAAAAAAUGACCUGUCAAAAAAUUUAUUUUGUAUUUAUCAUGUCUUUGCCUCUACUUGAAUCAGAUAUUCUGAAUACCUCCAAAUAUUUUAAAAUUCGUGAUCAUUUAUUUCUUUUGUUAAAACGAGGCAUAAACAGUAGACAUAUUUUACCUUCUUACGAGGUGGAUAACAUGUAAACAAACCAAAACAAAAAUAAGAAAUUUGUCGGGUGAAUAUUUAUCAAGAGUUAUCAUAUUCAGGCAAAAUUUAUAUUUAGUUAUUUGACAAAUAGACUGCUAAAAUUAUUUUAUUCAUGUGAAUAUAGGUGAUAAAAGAGUUUAGAAUGCGAAUAACAGAUGCAGAUGAAACACAUCAGUAUUCCAAUGGCAAUGGUAUUAAUAACGGUCUGUCAAUUAUGUUAUAGAGUUUCGGUAAACACCUGGGCAUGAUAAAAGACUCAUUGAUAUUAGAAUUCUGUUUACCUAGCUUCCUCAACCCUUUCUCUCAAUAGGAUUAAAAGUAAAAAAUAUGGAAUGAGCUAAUCUUUUAGUGAAGAGAAUUCUUUUCCUCCUCUUCUUUUCUUUUUUCCUUUUUUUAGACACCUGUGGGCAGAGUAUUUAUUAAUAAUAAUGACAAGAAGAGUGCAAAGCUUUGGAGGUGGACAUAAGGCCCAACCCCCAGCUAUUGGAAACGGAAAUAAAUCUUAACCAGGAAAAGCACUGUUAAACAAAGCAUUUUUCCCCUCCACUUCAUUUUCUUCUCUCUCUUUCCCUCUUUGAUCUCAUUCAUUACUUAUACAAGAGUCGCUAUCGUUACAUAUUUCAUAUUUUCACAACCUAUCUUUCAAUAAAGGCCAACGUUCUGACCUCUUAAGAAUGGAUUUAUGAGAUAACUUUUUAAUUUCCCUUAUCCAAUAAGUUUAUCCUAUCCUAAACAACCCCACGAGUCAUUUUAUAAGUUUAUGUUUCUCAUGAGCUCAAGAUUUAUUUAUAUAUUUUUUGGGGGGGGAGAGAGGGUGAGGGUUCUUUGGCUUAAGACUUGUGACUUAAAACUUGAAAGUAGUAACAAAAUAUGAGGCAUCAUAUGACACUGAAUAUAAAGAUUCAAUUAUUCAUUCUAUUACUGUUUUGAUUUUUAUAUGUAUAGACUCAACAUUAUUUAUGAAUAUAUUCGCAAUCACAACAAAUUAUUAAAUUCUGAGUUUCAAGAUCUCAAUGAAAUGGGAACAACUAUGUGAAACUGCAUACAACGGACAAAUUUACCAUUCUACACUAAUCAGAGACCAUGUAUAUAAAUAACUUUCAAUAAAUUAUAUUGAAUUUAUAAAAAAUAUAAAUUUUAUCCCACAAUAAAUUAAUAAAAACAGUACAAUUUAUAAUGAACAGACAGAGAUCAUAACUAACCUUACGGAAACUAUCAUACUAAGGUAUCAGUGUAAACACUAACAUACACAGAGCAACGGAUAUGUAAAUAAAAGUUUUCAUUUUCUGUUUACAAGUUUUGCAAUUAAUACAUUGAGAAAUCUUAUAGAUCCAUACACUUUUUUCUUCAGUAAUCCCACUCAAAAAUCUCUCCCAGACUCGAAAUUAUGUCACAAACGCAAAAUGACACAACAAAUACCUAUACAUACAUACACGUACACAAAUAUUGACACAAGUUAUGUGCGUAAUGCGUGUAAGCACAUCCAAAAUGAAAAUCAAUGCCAAGGAUUACGUGAUCAACUUCAAUAAACCUAAAUUCAGGAGUACGACCGCACGACAUUAUGAAAACGAUCACGAAUUAAUCAAGAAGUAUUGAAGAAUCGAAAAAAAAAUUGAUUCAAUGGAUUCAAAAAAUGAUCUCGAAAUUUCUUUAAUUAUAUUAUAACAGCGAAAGUAAAUUCCGUAUAUUCCUACGAGAAAAAUAUGGACAAACUCACCAGUAAAUUCGGCAAUAAUGGUGCGAAAUUUGUUGGAUGAAAACCCUAGAUUUCGCGAUCGUUUAGACUGAAGAGAUUAUUUUCUGUAUUGGAAGAGAGAUGAACGUGAUGACGCUUUGCAUUAAAUGGAGAGGAGAGUGACGUCAUUCAGUCGUGCUGGACUAGAGCGUAGAUCAGCGUAGGUAUUCUAGCCCACAAUAAAUAGUGAGAUAUAACGCAUACAAAUACAAAUACAGAGCCCACUCUUAAAAUUGCAAUUGUUCUUGUGGUAAUCCGCAGCACAAUUUUUUUAUGUUAAAGGUAGUAGAACAUACUUUUAUCAUGAUUGCUAAAAUUAAUAUUCGUAUUUUAGAUCACACUAGGGAUGUCAACGAGUCGAAUCAAUUCACGAGCCAAAAUUUUAAGCUCAGAUUCGACUCGGAUAAAAUUUUCGAGCUUUUUUUCGAGCCCAAGCUAGCCUGAACAAAAGCUCGGCAAAAAAAUUAUGCUCGACUCAAGCUUUCGGCUCGAGCCUUUCCGAGCCCAGCUCGGCUCAGGUUUUGUUUGAUUUUGAAUUUUUUUAAUUAAAAAGGCAGCAAGUAACAUUUUAGUUGCUGCUUAUUUUUGGCAGCAGCACGCUAUCUUUAAUUUUUUUUUUAAAUUUUUUAAAUAUAUGCUUGGUUCUUUCGAGCCAGUGAACCACACGGGUCAGUUCGGAUUUUGCCAGGCACUUAAAAAUGGGGCUCAAUUUGAGUCUCAGCUCGGUUGUCUCGAGUCUCGAGUCCGACGAGUUUGAACUUUUUUCGAACCGAGCCACGGGCGACCCGAGCCGAUGAGCUCGAUUGUCAUCCCUAGAUCACACAAAGGAGCAGAGGAAAUUGAGAAAUUCACAAUCUUAAGGAAUUCAAGGCUUUAUUUCUGAUUUUCGGUUACAAUGAAGGAGGAGAAACCCUUUUAUAGGAGGAGUCCCUUACAGUUAAUCGACACAAUCACAUGGAUUAGUACAAUAAUUAGAUAAUCGAACAAACAACUUUAAAACAUAUAGAAUUCAAGAACAAUUAUUAAACUAGUGGACAUACAAUUUUUAGCUUCAUUGUUUGAGAGAGAGAAAUAAAUUCUUGGUAAUACUUCUAAAGUUGUGAAGUUCUUUCUGAAAGCUAUGAAACCAUGAUAUCAACAUUAAAACAUAUUACAAUUUGAUGUGUUUGCUAGUAUUACCAAAAUUAAUAGGUUCCACUUUAUCAUCUAUCUAAUCAAAAGUUGUGUGUUCACUAGUAUAAUAAUUGUGCUCAAGUCCUAUAUGUUUUAAAGUUGUUUGUUCGGUUGUCUAAUUAUUGUACUAGCCGAUGUGAUUGUUUCGGUUGAUUGUAGGAGACUCUUCUCCUAUAAAAGGGACUCUACUCCUUCAUUGUAAGGACAUCGAAAAUCAGAAAUAAAACCUUGAGUUCCUUAAGAUCGUGGGUUUCUAAAUUUUCUUUGCUUCUCAGUAGGAUCCAGAAUACUGAUAUUAGUUUUAACAGUCAUGAUGAACCAGUAAUUUGAGCAGUAUCAAAAGUAUGCUCUGAUAUUACCUCUCUUGAAAUUUGGCUAUUCGUUGUGGGUUAGAAUACCUCGAUUGCACUUUUCUCUAGUUAGUUUACAUGUACUGGUAAAACAAAAUAUUAGUAUAAUAAUACCAAUGAGAAAAUGUUGUCCUAAUGAAUCAGUAAUUUGAGCAGUAACAAAAAUAUACUCAACUAUUAUCUCUUUUGAGGAUCCUUAAUAUUAGAAAUUGUGCUACAGAUUAUAAGAUCUACUAAGGAAAUUUGCAAUCUUAAGAGUUAGGCCUUGUAUUCGUAUGUCUCAAAUCUAGCUAUUUGUUAUGGGUUAGAACACCUAAAUUGCAACUAAAACAGUUUUCAGGAAUCGUUCUGAAAUUUUGAAUUUGAAAGGUAAAUACAUAAGCCAUACAUUCACAAUAUAUUGAAAUUUUAGAAUUUAUCCUAUAGUAGUUUAGUCAAUGAAGUUGCACACAAGCAGAUUGUUGAGUAACAACAUCACAAUUUACAAAAUAAGGCAUAACUCAUAUCGAAUUGAAGUGAAACCAAGUCCCGUGGAUAGAUAAUUCGAAGAGAUAUCGAACCCAACUAGUCUCGAUCUCUGUCCAAAAUAAACAAUUCACGAUGUAGUUUUAAAUACACAUCAGAAUGCUGAAUUUUCCAUACAGCCAUCGACCACUCUCCAAGCUAAAAUCAUUUAGUAAAUGUAAUGAUAAAAGAGAAGGAUAAGUACAUAAAUACACUCAGCGAGUUACUUAUAGCCUAUCACAACUGAUCCGGCCAUGAAACCAUAUAAAGAAAUCAAUUACCACAUCUAAAACUGAGAAUUAUUACAUCAUGAACAGAGAUGGAUACAGGGGGGACUGGGCUGGGCUGUAGUCCCCCCCAAGGCCCAAGAAAUUUAUUUUUUUUUAUGCAUUUUUCAUUUUUUUUUUUGAAAAAACAGUUUUUUGUGUGUAAAUUUUUUUCCGGCGUAUUAGUCCGACUUGAAAUUUUGUAGCCCGAUUUUGGAUCCGUCCCUGAUCACGAAGAUGGUACUUCAUGCAAGCAUUGCAAAUUGAACUUGAAGGUUUAAACUAAGUCUGAGGGUUUAACCGAACUGAUACAAGGAGUUCAGAUUGUUAGUUUUUUUCUUUAAAAAAAAAUGAAAAAAGAACAUGACAACAUGUAAGGAACAAAUUGUGGAAUGGAAACUACCUAUAAUGUCUCACAUCUCAAAAAUUUAAUCUGAAACUUGAAAGCUAAAAUACGGAUUUAAAGGAACACCACAGUUGAAAAUUUCAACUUGUCUUGAUAAAGGUUUCCAUCUAGAACGUGUGUUAGGGAAUGUAAAAGACUUCUAUGCCACUUAUGUAUUUAAAUAAUUAAAUCACACUUAUUGAAAGAAUAUUUGCCCUCAUUUUAUGCGCACUAAUACAAUAUUUGGACAAAAAUUAUCUUUAGGGACCAAAUGUGCUAUUUAACGGAAGUUGAAGGAUAAGAGUUCGACAAAAAAAAAUAAGCCCAUAAUUAUGAUAAUAAGCAAGAUUGAAGACUUUUAACGUAACUGAAACAAUUAUAGUGUCAAUAUAGCUGCCCUAAUAAAACAUUUUGAUCAAUGAAAUUUUCCCGUUUAAUUGUUAAGAAGUCAAAUUUUGUAUAAAAAAAGGAUUUUUAUACCUUUAUUUUUUAUUUCGAAAUAUAGAUUUACAUUAAAGUAAGAAGUCACACAGUACGAAUGGAUGCAUAGGAGACUAAAAUAUUUAGUGUUUUUAUUUUUUGGUCGUGGCUUAGGCAAAUAUAUAUUUUGGCAUUUUAAUGUGUUGUGGAUAUAAAUAUUAUUCAAUUAAAUUCAUUAUUCUUUUGACCUUUUGCUACAAUUUAUUGUACCUCUACCAAACGAUAAACUCUUUGAUUUAAACAAUUAAACUAGUCGUAUUAUUUCAAAAGAAGAUGCAGAAAAUUAGUAUUUAGUGUGAACUCGUGGCUGACACUAGGAAUUUCAAUACCUUUGUACAAGAGUAAUGCUUUUGGAAUGGGUGCUUUCAUAUAAUACAAGUCAUAACUUGAUACUAGUACAAAAUAUUAUUUAUAGAGCCUAGAAAAUAAACUAGUAUUAUAGAAGGCACAUCCAAAUCAAAAGUCAAAAGAAUAAUGAAAAGUUUAAAUAGCAAAGUUUUAGUAAGGACUUCCUCCAAUAUUCGACAAGCUGGACUUUACACACACCCUUGUUUGGUAGGGGGCUAAAAUUAAUUUUUUAGUAAAUUUUAAUAAAGAGUAAUACUAUACAUACUGCAGUAAUCUUCUUAUGUAGCAAUUUGUUAUUAAAAGCAUUGACUUGUGAUUUGAAGUAACAAAAUUACAGAAAACGAAUACCCUGUUGAUGUUAACUUAAAUUGAAAUCUAAGUUUCAACCCCUACCAUACAGGGACUUAGACAUGACUGAAUAGGCACAUAAGAUGUUUGUCAAUUGUCGUAUUCAAUCCUCAUUCAAUGUACAACAAAUUGAAUUAAAACUCAAAAACACCUUAUAAGCUUAGUCAAAUAUUUGACAUGCUAGACUUUACCCGUUAGCACAUAAGAUGAUUGUCAGUUGUCAUAUUCACUCAUCAUAUAGAAUACAAAAAAUAAGCCACUACAUCGCAUACUUUAGCAUACCAUGAUAAUUCAAUCAUUUUCUAGCCUUCACUUGAAAAUUAAGAUAGUGAUAAAAUGCACCUCGAUAACAAUUUGGACAUUGGGCAUUAUAUUUGAUAGCAAGAAUUGAAAAAACCAAGCAAAAUAAAGGAGAAGAAAACACCCCUAAAGCAUGAAUAUAUGGCUACAAACCUUGCAACAAAUGUCAUGUACACUUUACAUUUACUAACAACAACAAAUUAAGUUACAUAGGUAAGCAUACAUAAAUCCUUUAUGGCCACUCUAUUUAGCUCAUUACUCGAUCAUAACAACUAGAUCCUUAUUAAUCGGAAGUUAGCCAAGUUUAGCCAAGUGAAUCAACUUCUAUACUUCCGAAAUUGCCCUGCAAAAAAAGCUUUAUAUUUCCCUUCUCAUCCUCCUUUCAUGUACUUUUUCUCUCUUUAAUGGCAAACUACUAAAAAUCUAUUUGAGUAAAAUCAAAUCAUUCAUCUUGAAACAAAGAGAAUUGAAAGAGUUUCAGAGAAAUAUGAAGGGUCUGCACUUCUUAGCUCCAACACAAUUGGAUACAAACACAAGCAAGGAGGUCAGUUUCUUGUAUGCAUUCAAUAAACUCAUCCGCGCAGCCUCCCAAUUAAUUAAUUCCGUCCAGUGAGGAUUAAGAAUGCAAGACUAAUAAGAGAGCUCAAUUAACAUAACCUUAAUGCAAGAUGUGAUAAAGCAUGACGUCCCAGCAGGCAACUUAAUCCAUCAUAACAAAAUUCGACAAAAUCGAUUGUUACAUUGUAAAAAGUACAAUUACGACACAAACUCAUAUCUGGAGUUAAAAUUAUGAAAUUAAAAAAGAACUCAAUAAGCAAAACUGUAUUAGCAUGUCCAUUUAUCAUGAAACAAGAGGCUGGAGUACGAAGAUUAUUUUGCAUGAGCAAAUAAACGAUGAGAUACCCAGCUCCAUCUGCAAUUAUUUCAAAAAACUGCCCUUAACGUGCAGGCUGUUGGUUGUAAUGAUUCUUCUCUUUCUUCUUAGCAGCAGCAAGUUUCGCACUCCUUGCAGCAGCCUCCACGGAAGCAGCUCUUGCAGCAGCAGCCAUUUCUUUACUAGAUUUCUUCUUCUUUGCAGAUGCCGCUUUCUUUAGCCGCUCUUUCAUGUCAACAGCUGAUGCAUCAUCUUCCACCUGUUCAGUUCCAGCACUUUCCUCUUGUCCAUUAGGAACAUUUGAGCUGCCUGGUUGCUCCUGCGGUUCCUUCACCCCUUUCGAAGCUUUAUCCUUCUUUUUCUUCUUCUUUGCACCUUUGGAUUCUGCAGGGACACUAUCUUUCUUUGUUUCACCAUUCAACUCUCCCUCUUUCUUUUCUUUUGUAGCAUCUGCAAGUUUGUAAAGAAACGAGGCAUUUAGCUGGAAAGGUUAUCAUUUAAAAUAUCUCUGACAUUAUAGUCUCACCAAUGAUAGUCAAUUUUUACUAAAAAGUACCACUAGAGAGAAUGAAUUCAUGAAAGUCCACAUUGAUGUCUCAAUAAGAUGUAAAAUUACCCAAGAAACAAUAAAAUCAAGCCACAAGGACCAGACAUGAAGACAGCAGAUCAAAAAGCAUAUUUAUGAAGAAGAAAUCUUAAAAUAAAGCUGAUUCUAGCAAAAGAGAAAUAAAAGGUUUUCAUGAAGACAAGGAGAUACACAAUUACCAGAUGAUUGAUCAAUGACCUUCUCGUUUGGGGUAACACCAAAAUUAGCCAAAAUAGCCUCCAGUUCGGCCAUCUCUUUUUUCUUUCUCUCCUUCUUAGAUAGUUGCCUUUCUGUCUCUUUAGGUGCAGGUGAAGCUUCUGGAGGUUCUAUCGGUUCUAGCUCGGGCUUUUCCUGCACUUGCAAUUCAUGCCCGCGUUCCUCCUCCUCCUCCUCCUCCACAUCAUCAGCUUCAUCAAGAUCAUCUUCACUUUCACUUUCCUGCAAUUCCAACAGACAAUCAUAUUAACUUACCCAAUUUAUCUCAAUUACAUUCAUCACCUAAAAUUCCAUGAAUGAUAUGAAAUCUAGCCAGGAAAUACAUUGAAAACCUGGGAUCUCAGAUUUGCAAAUAAUGUCAUCUUCUGGGAUUUCAUCUUACCAGAGGAAAAAGAUUUAGGCAAUUGGAUAUAGGGCAGUUCUACUAACUACAAAAACCAGUGACAUAAUGAUUGGCUCUAUUGUUGCUCACGAGAGUGAGGCGAUCUCUGUGUAACAUGUUCAAAGAGGGAAAGGUAGACCAACAUAGUUUGUCGCAGUUCCUAAGUAUCUAGUCUGAAAUAUACUUAUAAGUUAGCACUGUUAAUGAACACAAACAUACAGAGAGAGGAAGGGAGAGAGGCGUGGAGUUAGGAAAUAUAAAUUCUGCAAGGAAGGUUAUAAAUCUUACACUAACAAUGUAUUUCUUGGUGCAUUCUUCUUCAGUAAUCUAAAACAAUGAAUUUUUUAUUAUAUUCAAACUUCAGUAACUUCUUUUUGAAUGGUAUAUUAGCCAUUUAAAGGAAAAAAUUUGAUGCUAUUCAUAACAAAUAUUGAAUUGGACAUCAACUUAAGUUAAUUUUAGAAGGGCAUAUAACGCAUUUAAAGAAAAAAUCUCAUUCUAUCAGCCAAAAAAUAAAAUAACUGCUUCCUUACACUUAUUAAGAAAGUGCUAUUUCCAAAAACUGCAUCACACACACACAGAGAACAUUAGAUAAGUAUAUAGAUUAAAACUUGGCUACUAAAUCAUGGUCAGGGAAUAUAAAAUCUAAUGGAAAGGAUAAAUAUUAAAGAGCAAGAAAGAUAAGCCUAAUGAAUGUACCGAUUCACUAUGGGAGCCUUUACCAAAAACAUCAAUUGUAAACAUGUCUUAAUGAUCCAAUUAAGGGGCAAGGUCAAAUCAAUAAUUUCAACGGCUUACAGCUUAAUCAACUAAAUAUCCCAGAAGUAUCAGAUGUAUCAUGAUUGAAGGUAUAAAUUACUUGCCGUAGCACAAAACACUGAGAAUCAUCCAUUCACCUUUCCCAGUUUUUUUUCCCCUCUUUUCUGUUCAACACCGAGAUCGUGUCUCUUUAUAAAACAUGAAAGAGUAUAUACACAACAGAUGGUAGGGGAAGGAUGACAGUGCAUAACAUCAAGUCAUAAUUAUUCAACACACAUUCCUAUUAUCUAUAUAUAAACUGCAUAAAUUUCGUUGCUUAGGCAAAAGAUGGUAAACACAAGUACAAAAGGGUAAGAUAGUGAGCGCAGUUUGGUUUGGGUUGGUUUUGACUCUAACCCGAAACCAAAACCAAUUUAGUCUGUUUGGGUGAAUUUCAACCCCAACCAACCCACUAUAACUCUUCAACAAAACCAAACCAAACUGAUUCAGUUCGGUUAAUCGGUUGGGACUUUUAGUCCAACCUGAAUUUUUUUUAAAAGAAAUUUGUCCGAGUUUUGGGCCCAAUAAAAUUAUAAGAACUAAAAUAAUUAAAUAAUUUUAUAUUACAAAAAUUAUAGACUAACAAAUAAAAUCAAGUUAAAGAGAUAGAUCAAUAGAAACUUAAGAAUUUUGUUACCUUUUUAGGCAUUAUGUAGUCUGACUCCCUGAGUAGGAAAAAACUAAUUACAACAUAAUGAGCUUAUGAAAGAAAAUUUUUAGUACUAUUACUCACCGACAACAUCACCGAUUGGAGAGAAGCGUGAUAUAGUUAUGAGAUUAAGGCUUCUCUUUUGAUUUUUAUUUUUCUUUUAAAAAAAGAUGAACAUGUAAAUAAAUUGGUUGGUUCGGUUAACCAACAGUUUGAGGCUUCAAACCAUGAGUAAACCAACCCACCAUGAUUUUGUUUAAAAGAAAACCAAACCAAAUCAAUUACUUGUGUCAAACCGACCUGAGUCGGUUCAGUUGAUUGGUUUAAUCGGUUUUUCAGUUAUUUUGCCAUAGCUCCUGGCAUAAACACACACAUAAACACCAAAAGCAACACCAAACUAACUGGAUUCGUUCAGAACAAUCAUCCACCGACAAUAUAAAUGUGAUAAAUCCCAAUCAAUAAUUUCGUCAAAUAAAGGGGAAAAAACACACAAAUAAUAUAAACAUCAGUCUAUAUAUUUACCUCAACGUGAUCUGGUUGCAUAGUUUUUUCAGUUUGAUUCAAACCCGAACCUCCCCAUACAGACUGAGGUGGGGCAGUGGUGGCAAAGUAAUCAUCAUCAUCUUCAUCAUCCACAUCAGCCCAUGACUUCACUGUCAAAGGCGCAGGAGCCCAGUAAACCUGAGGCUUCUCCUCAGGUUCUUUCGAUUUCCCAGCCUCAGAUUUCAAACCGCUCUUACUGCUUUUCCUCAAGCCCUUAUCCUUAUCUGACUUCUUCUUCUUCCUAAAAUUAUCAAGCGCCGCAAAAACAUUGUUAUUAGUCAUCUUAAACGAUCCCUCGUCCCUCCGAUUCCCACCUCCAACCAUUUUCUAUUUUUUCUAAUAGGCAAGAAAAUUGAAUAAUUUUUCGAUGCGAUUCGUAUUCCCGGAAUCCGAGAUACUUAACAAUCCAAAAGAAUAAACAAGAGAAAACACAGAACAACGCACAAAAGACACAAAAAUUUCAGACUAAAUCGAUUUAGAACCCAAUUUCUAUAUAUUUGCGGAACGAAUACCAAAUAUCAAUAACCCGCAAUUAUUCACGAAAUUCGAUUUUCUUCGAGUGAUCGACAAAUUAUGAAUCGACAAACACAACUAGAAUUACGAGAAAACUAUGGUUUCUAGAGAGAGAGAGGGAGGAUUUUCAAAAUGCGAGGCUAGGCGAAAAUUCGAAACAAAGAAUCGCUACCGUAUAUUUUCAGAAUGAGUGAGAACGCGAGGAUUCUUCUUAGAGGAGAAGGAAAAAGGGCCACGAGAUCACGUUUAUAUACUUGUGGUUUAUCGAGGAGAGGCGUAUUGUCCGACCCACAAGACAAUCGGACCGAAUAGCCGGUUUAAUUCUAAUUAAAGCAUUAUUGAUUGUAUUUAUUGAUUCUGGUACGUGGUUAUAUAAUUGGAUUAAGCCCAGCCACUGUAGCAACGAGCCCCAUUUGAAAAAAAAUAGCAAGGGGCACAUCGUGUGUAUUCUCACAAGGUCCCCGUACGUCAAGUAGCGUCCUAUAAAAUUAUUUUAUUUAUAGUUAGUCAUUCUCUGUUGGGAUAGCUUUUCCCAUUUACACUAAUUUAGGUAUAUUGAAAAUAGUACACUAGGGAUCGAGUCAAAAUGGAACUGGUCAGCUUUGGUUUUAUUCAUUUACGGAACCAUGCUAGCCAGAAAAAUUUCACAGGAUUUUUCCACAGAUAAACACAUGACAGAAUUUCACUUAGGGUCCGUUUGAUUGCAAAUGUGAAAUUUGGGUGGAAAGAAAAUGAAUUCCAGGGAAUUCAAUUAUCUAGAAAUUGUUUUCCUGGAAAUUGUCAAUUGAUAGUGUUUGAUUGGUAUAAUUUUUCACGUGGAAAAUGUUGAAAUAAAGUGUUUUUUAGUGUUCGUUUGACUUUGUUUUACAUGAAAAUUGUCAAUUUAAGGGAUAUCCACUUCUACCAUUGUUCCUAGAAUUUGUUUUCAUUGCCAAUUUUAAAUAAAAAUUUUCAAUUAAAAGAAUAUUCUCUUUUACAAUUAUUCAUAGAAUUUGUUCCCAUUGUCAAAAAAAAUUUUAAAAAAAUAAAAUAAAUAAAAAAUUGGGUGGAAAAUCCAAAUGAAGGAAAACAAGGUCACGUGAGGGGAGGGGGGAAUUCAAAUUCCAUGGAAAAUUUGGACAAUCAAACACUUUAAAUUGAAUGGACAUUUUCCAUGGAAAAUGGAGUAAUCAAACAUACUCUUAUUUCAAUCAAAUCAAACAAAAAAAUGCACCACACAGAUGCUGGCAACUGAGCAUUUGUAUGGUGCCUGUAAACUGUUUCUUGUACGCAGGAAAUUGUUCUUUUAUCUCUAUACAAUCAUUACGUACAUGUGUCGUAUAGGGAAUUGUUCUUUUAUAUCUAUACAAUCAUUAUGUACACGUGUAAGUUCACUAUUACUGUCGAAUUUUUGUUAAAUCAAAAACUCAUGAUUUAGAUCCGAGAAUGCCGAAUAUGUGUGCAUAAAAUGGUUGUGGCUGUUUCCUUAUAUUUCAAUGUAAAUGUAAUUAAAUGGAAGAUAAAUAAAAUAGUUUAUUUUGUUUACGAUUUCAUAUUACCUUGAGGGCCUAUAGAAGGCUAUAUUUAUGAUGAUCAAAUGUCUCACGUGAUACUUGAUUGUGUUCGAUUUUUACUUUUAAACUCAUUGUCUAGUCCUAAAUAUUUAUUCCGUGAAAUACAUUCUUCAAUAAUUUAUGGUUUGGGCUCCUCAAUCUUCCACAUGAUGUAGAUAUGAACUCUCAACCUUCUAAAAUUUUACCAAUUUUUAUAUUGAUCAAACUUCAAUUUUAACCACAGUUUUUAUCAACUUUGGACCCCAUAUACCAUCAAUUUUUAUCAAAUAAAAGUUUUGUGAAACAAUUAGGCAAUAUUUGUUGGAAAUUAUUUAGGAAAAAUAAUAUUUUGAGUAGUAAAUUUUUUAGAAUCUUCGUUUAAAAGGUACAAAGUUUUAAGCUUACGUGCAAAAUAUUUUAUUGUGUAAAUAUUUGGUUAAAAAUGAAUAUGUAAAAACGAAAUCUUAAACAAAAGGCCAUCAAAUAGUGACUUAGAUUCCAACGCAAUUGAUACCAUCCAUAUGAAGUUAAAAAUCUCAAAUGAUAGUUAGAGGACAAAAUUAUCAAACACUUAAAAACUUUUUUUCAAAUUCAACUGAAAGUUACAUGCAAUUUUAAGGUUUAAAUUGACAAUACACUACUCAAGGAUGAAAAAUCUGUGAAUUCACCUCGUCAUCUUUGCCAGUUAAAACUCCUUUUGUCUUGCUAAUAUGAUGUUAAAUAAGGAUUGAACAGGAUAUAUUUGGAUGUACAAGGAUUGAUAGAGUUUCAAUAUAUUGGGAAUUGAACAAAUUUCGUUCUCUAACUAUGUUAUGAAAGUAGAAGGCAGUAUUACUAGUUAGGAAACUUUAACAUUCUCACACAAUCAAUACGAUCCGUUAUUCGUUUUUUCCAAACUAUAAACAAGUGCAUGAAUCAUCUAGGCACAAAACAAUUAUUUUUCUAUCCAAACCACAAUUCACAAACGUAUAAUAAGUUCAAAAACAAUAAAUAAAAGAAAAAACAACGAAAAAAUGGUAUGAAUGAGAAUCCAAGACUUAUCGAAAAAAAUGAGAGAAAGAGGCAAUUCAAGUAAAAAUUCACAAACAGUUAUUUUUCUAUCCAAACCACAAUUAAUGAGUGUAUAAUAAGGUCAAAAACAACAAAUGAAAGAAAGAAUAACGAAAAAAUGGUUUGAAUGAGAAUUUGAGACUUACUGAAAGAGAAGAGAGAAAAAGACAAUUUAAGUAAAAAUUAGCAGACAAACAGCAAAUGAGACUGACAAUUCGUUCACAAGUGGUAGACAAGCGUCAAAUGUUAGGAAAAUGAGAGUUUAUGUUAGGGCUUCUGAAACCUUGUAUGUAAUUUGCUGACGUAGUUUUAUUGAAUUAUGAUUGGAUUGUUGAAAGUGCCUAUAUAUAUUUUUUUCAUUUUAUAUAAUUUUGGAAUAAUUUUAGUUUAGUUUAAAUAUUAGAUGAGGACGUGUGUCGUGAACUUGUUAAAUCAUAGACCAAUAAUGAUAAAAAUAAUUUACUUUCUAUGAUUAUUUCAAUAGGCUGGUUGUAAUUUGUAUUAUUAAAUUGAUAUUUUUUUUUUUGAAAAGUGAAAAUCGUAAAAUUUUAAGUUAAUAAAAUUAAUGUUUUAUUUAAAAAAUUUUAAAACAGUUCUGUGAGAUUUUGUGCGCUUUUUGAAAAUCUAAAUCUAAACCAAACCAUUUUGAAACUGUUUGGUUUGGUUUGAGGGAAAAAAAUCACAGGUCCACGUGGACUCAAAUCAACGGUUUCAACUCAACAAUUUUGGUUUAAUUUGCAAUUUCGCGAUUUCUUUUUGUAGCCCUAAUAUUUUUCAUAAAAAAUCUGUCAAUCUAACAAGCCAAUUCUACCAAUCUUUGCGUGGGAACUGAGCAGUUUAAAAUCACAUUUUCACCAACCUUCUGUUACCAUUUCCCAUCGUCCACUUCGAAUCUGAACCAAGAAAGUUUGGCCAAAAUGUAAAGAAAAUAGCGAAAAUGGAGGAGGAAUGAUCAUUAGACUCAAAUUAUAAUUAUGGUAAUUGGUAAACGUUACGGGGAUCAAGGAUAUGAUUAUGUUGGUUUGUAUUGGGAGAAAAGUCGAUUUGUGUUGUCGAUUUGUAUGCCUUUGCAAACAAAACUAGAUAAGAGAAUAAUUCAAUAAUUUUUAGAAGAUGUCGAUGGUUUAAUAUAGGCAAUCUCUGGUCAAGUAAAAUUUUCAUUAGAGGAGAUUGGGACGAUGUAUUGAAGGGUACCCCAUCAUAUGAAUUUUUUUUUUUUUUUUUUUUUUUUUUUUUUUUUUUUUUUUUUUUUUUUUUUUUUUUUUGAAGUACUUCGAGAAAUUUGAAUUGUUACGUAGCUCAAUCGCGGACUUAUUUCACAAAAACUUUACCUUGUUACCAAAUAAUGAGGUAAAAUUUAAAUUUCUCGUAAUGCCUAUUGCAUUCUCGAAAGUCUUCUCUGAAUUUUUUGUUGCUUUCAUGUUCAUCUUCUUAAUGUAGAUACCAAGAAUGGAGGCAUGGAGCAUAUAUUAAGCCUUCCUGUGCAAGAUCCUCCAUAUGCUGAGUUUUCUGCUGCUCAUCUAAAUUGGGUUAAAGUAGAAGCGGUUGUCAAGUUGGUGAUGAUAUUGCACUAAUCCCUUUUGCUAGAGUAGAUAAUUUUGUAAAAAGAGAGUCCAGUAAUGCAAAAUGUCAGCUCGCUUCUGAAUUGAUUCGAGAAGGAAGAGACCUGAAGGGGGUUUCAACAAACCAAGGGUCGACGGAUAUCUUGAAUAUACUCUGUAUGCCACUUCUUGUAAGUCGCAUUUCAUACUUGUGCUUUGUUGAAAUAUCACCUUGAACUAGAAAUUUCGUGUUAAUAAUCUGGUCUAUCAUCCAAUUUCGUUCUGAAUUAAUUCAUGCUGAAAGCUAUUUGUCUUACAUUUUUGUAACGUAUUCUACCAUUGUGAAAUCGUGUAAGAAGAAAAUUUUAGCAACUUACAUUUUUCUUGGAUUUCUUAGGUAUUGGUGUUGUUAUGGUCCUGAAGACUACAGGGAGAGCGAAUCUGGUAUUGGAGAAAACUCAAGCAUUAAACGUAAGGAAGUAGGCCUGGGAGACGACAUGUGAUGAAAGGAUGCCUUUGCCAUUUUAGGUUCGUUUUUCUAAUUAUUUUUUUGGCCUAUGAACGAUUUUAUUUCAUCCUCAACUUUUAUACAUAUUAGAAGGGUGAUUAAGGGCGUAAUGAACUUGUAAUUUGUGGUAAAUAUUAUAGGAUUAUUCUAUAUGUACAAAAUCAAUGACAAACUUGACAAGUGGUGGCCCCCUGUUGGUGGAGUGGUGGUGGGGCCAGCCGCCCCACUAACAGGGAGCCGCAACUUGUCAAGUUUGUCAAACUUUAGUAAUUGAUUUUGUACUUAUAGACUAAUCCAAUAUUAUAACACCUGAUUGUAGACCACAUUUGCAAGUACAAUGAAUAAAACAUUCUGGGAUGAGCUCUGAAGUGACUGAGAGCUUAGCAAUUCCAGAAGCUCGAGGGCCAAAAUUCUGGUGUAUUUGUCAUUUGGUACUAGCUAAUUGUCAUUUAUGCAGAACCUAGCAAGAAAGUGGGACAAAACUAGAAAUAAUAAUCCAAAGGCAAGACUUGCUAUUUACCUUCUGCUUUUCUUGAAAAUAGUGACUGACUGUAAUGCUAUUGGUAAAACUGCACAUUUUGUAAUUUUUUCCUCAAGUUUUUUCCUAUCUUUUUUUGAAAGUUGCCAAUUGGACGACCCAGGUAAUCUCGUAGCGGAAAAUAAGACUAAGAAAAGUAAAAGAAAAAUCCCUAAACAUAAAAGAAGGGAGUUAAUACUCCUUGCAUUUGCUUUAGCUUGCUGAUUUGGAAUCUUCACUAAUUUGCUUUCUUCCUUUUGACUUCUGCAAUAUGCUUUGUGAUCCCUGUUUGUAUUUGACUCUUCUCAGAAUCCUAUUACAGUUGCCUGGGUCAUUAGCUCUAGUUGACCUGGUCAAAGUAUUCACAAAUGGAUGUCAACUCUUGUUGAAAGAACCCAGAAAGGAACCAAGGUGGAAACCUUGUGGAUGAUCCUUCUGUUGAGGCUUCAGUUAUAAGGUAAGUUGCGCAGUUUGAUUCUCAGAUGUUAUAUUUCCCUAGUUGUGGAUUUGAAACUGGAAAAUUUCUGAUGCUUAUCACUUGUAGAGAAGCCUUCCAAUUCCACGUUUUAUUAUCCAUUUGGCAUGUGCGUCGUGGAUGGUUGAAAAGCAUUUUGAAAAAUUGCAGCAAUUUUGUUGUGCAGAGGGAGAUGUUUAAGCACGUAGGCAGGAUUUUGUACUGCUCGAAAAGUGGGCAAAAUGUGGUUGAUGCUGUUGAAGAGUUCGUGCAAAUAUAUGUCAAUCAAUAUGCAUUUGUAGAACAAUUUAGAAGCAAAUGGUUGCCAAAGACAGGUAUGGUCGGGUCUCAUAAGUUUUUUUAAUUUCUGGCGAGGAAACUUUGCGUUCUUUUUCUUGUUAAAAUUAUUGGCUGCUCAAGUUUAUAGGCCGGUUUUUCUUAGCCUCCUACAAAAUAUGCCAGAUGAUCCUCUAGUUCUUGAACAUGCCAUAUCACAUGUGAUAUGGUUACAACAGGACAUCAAAAGCUUGGAGGAAUUGUCAAAUACUGGAUUACUGCGGUCUUUAUCUUCUGAUACAAACUUCCAAAUGCCAGAUAAUCUCCAACCUUUUCGGCUUCAUUAAUCUGCACUCUCUGUCUGAAGUUGCAUCAUGAGGAUCCCCGAAAAUGUCAAUGUUGAAGCACAAUAUUUCGUGGGAGUAUUGCAUCGUAGGCCUUCAACCUAUUUCCUGAAUAUCAUUCUCAGCCAUUAAAGAGGAGUUAUGAGACCCCACGAGGGCAUGCAAUGAAGUAAUGAAUAUUUGAGUGGUUUUGAUUGCUGAGGACUGAUUGUGCAACUAUAAUGGAAGGUUGGCUACCAACUUGUUUGUUGGACUUGGAUCAGGGACCAACUUGCUACUUGGGUAAUGUUUGGGGACCAAUGGUGCAUUCAUCCCACAUUUAAUCUCUAGACUAGAUUUCAGAAGUGGUCAGAUUGGCAGAUUUCAGGCGCUCUUGUGAAUCUUGAAUUCUUUACAGUAGAGGUAUAUUUUCAGUUACCAUGCUGGCAGAUACUUCUAAUUGUUAUUUUUUGCAAUUAAUGUUGUUAACUAAUUAUUGGUGCUUCGAAGUUUUUCAAGCUUGUGCACAAAUUUUUUCAUGCAAUUUAUCUUAGUUUUGGAGAGCCUAUUAUUGGCUGCUCAAGUUUAUAGGCAGGUUUACAAGGUUGCAAUCUUCUGUAGAAGUCGUCAGGUAGCAAGGCCAUUGUUGGCUGCUCAAGGUUAUAGCCUUAUAGGCAAGUUUUGCUUAGCCUCCUAGAAAAUAUGCUGGAUGAUCCUCUACUUCUUGAACGUGCCAUAUCAUAUGUGACACAGUUAAAACAGGACAUCAAAAGCUUGGAGGUAUUGUCAAAUACUGGAUAACUGCAGCCAUUACCUUCUGAUACAAACUUCAAAGUGCCAGAUAACCUGCGCUCUCUGUCUGACCUUGCAUCACAAGGAUCCCUGAAAAUGUCCAUGUUUAAGCACAAUAUUUCUUGGGAGCAUUGCAUCGUCGGUGUCCAACCUAUUUCCUGAUAGAUAUCGUUCUCAGCCAUUAAAGAGGAGCAAGCUGGUUCUCAACCUUCCAUAUUGUUGCCGAAUGAGACCCCUCGCGAGGGCCAUGGUGAUGAUGUAAUAAAUAUUUGAACAGUUCUGAUUCUCGAGGACUGAUGACUUGGAUCGGGGACUGUAGAAAACAACAAACCAAAGAUGAAGAAUGGAGGAGAAAGAGAGAAAACCGAUUAAUAGAGAAAGAGAGAAAACCGAUUAAUAGCAGCCUCCAAAAUUGGUUGCAUAAUGUAAGAUUACAAUGGUUUAUAUAGUGCAAAACUAAGGAAACAUAAUAAGAUUAAACUACCCUUAACCUAUUAACUUAUUACUUUAACAUCCCCCUCAAACUCACGAUACUACGACAAGGAGCAACGAGAGUUUGACCAACAAAAAGCGUAAAUGAUAAAUCGAAUUUGACUUCAUGGCAAAGUCUACAAGCUGCAACGACGGAGAGCAACGAAAGGUAGGAAAAUGAUGCCGAACUGCAGAUAACUAAUGAAACCAUACAAUCUCAGCUAAACCCACUGCAGAUAACCAACGAAACCACACAAUCUCAACUAAACCAAACGGAUGCAAAUUUCAAAUUUCAAAUGAACUUGAUAUAUCAAUUCCAAGAACUGACUAUGCCAAAUUCCAAACUCCAGAUAGACUGGAAAAACGAAAUUUCUAAUCCCAUAAACUGGGCAAACAAACGAAAUUUUCAAAUCCCGUGAACCGGGCAUCAAACGAAAUUUUCAAUCCCCACAAAUUUCAAAUUCAAGCUCGACAAAUGCCAAAUUUCAGAUACACGAGAUCAACACCAAAACAAAUUUCCAAUGCAAACUAGGUCCAACAUUAAUUAACCGACCCAAUAAGCUGUCUAAUAGUACCAAAGCAGCCCAAAUCAAUCACAGAAACCAAAUUGCUGACCAAAGAAAUUUAACCCAAAAUUCAGCCCGUACAUAAUCAUCUUCCAUAAUGCCAUAAUGAGGAAAACUCCAAUUAAUCUGCUUUUUUUUUUUUUUUUUUAAGAGACUUCUCUAGCAGGCCUAAUUAAUUAGAGCCCAACCCUUUUUUUUCUCUCCCUUUUUUUUUUUUUAAACCCAAAUGCACAAAUUGAAAUCCCAAAAUACAAGGCCCAAAUCCAACAUUACCAAACUGCUGGCAAUCCACAGCCCACUACUUAGGCCCAAUUCAGCAGACCCAUCAAACAUUUCAAGCCCACUUACUCAAAAAUUAAAAUACCAGCCGAACUAAAAAAAAAACUAACCCAACAAGCCCAACACAACAAUUCCAAGCCAACUUGAACCAACUGGCCCAAUUUCAACAUACUAUAGGACCCAAAACCAAUCUACAGGCCAUAACCUACGAAAACAAACCUGGCCAAAUUUCCUCCAACUUCAUUUUCUCUAGGGCUGUGGCUACCUCUCGUCGACACCAACAAAAGUCAUAAUUCAGACAGAACACCAAUUUUUCUUCGAUUCGGACAGGCCACAGUUGCACCACGUUCCCAACUUUCAAGUCGUUCCUGUUCAGCAUAUCUAUCUAAUUUCCAGUCAGCAUGUAGGAUACGCUCUCCUUCCCAUUGCUUUUCUUCAUCGGCCAUCUCCUCAAAUCCACUUUGUCCCUUAUUAGCAAAGGAUCAAUAAUUGGUACAGAUAUGUGCUCCAGCUUGCCAUUGAAGCGUUUCAGAAGAUGGACUUUCUCUUCAUCCUUGAGAAACUCUCCUACAACUGAAUUUAGAGGAAUAGAAAGCCGGCUUUGUUGAGGUUCUGUAUCAGAUUUAUAGAGUCCCUUCUGUACCACCAAUAUCUCCUGUGAAAUACUUCUUCCAUUGGCCAGUUCUUGAAUUGCAUCCUUGAAUUCUUCAGGUAGCGAAGGGGGAGGAUCCGGUCCGGUGUUAAUUCUUUUCUUCACAACCCGAACUUCUUCUUCUCCUCCAUUGCUACGUCUUUUGGACUUAUUAUUUUGUUUCUACUUUUCACCCCAGAAGUUUCUGGGAUGUCAACUGUACUAUUAUCGAGAUUAUUCCUUCUAGCAAAAUCUUCUUCCAAAGUAAAGAAGAGAGAAAACCAAACCUGCAGCUUCUCCAUUUUUUUUUUCGCAGCCGCUAACAUAUCACAAAGUUUUGACCACCGGACGAGCGGCACAAGGCCGCUCGCCGGAGAAUGACAUCUUGCAAGUUUAAUCCAAAAUCAAACCCGCUCUGAUAUCAUAUAGAAAACAACAAACCAAAGAUGAAGAAUGGAGGAGAAAGAGAGAAAAUCGAUUGAUAACAGCCUCCAAACUUGGUUGCAUAAUGUAAGAUUACAAUGGUUUAUAUAGUGCAAAACUAAGGAAACAUAAUAAGACUAAACUACCCUUAACCUAAUUAACUUAUUACUUUAACACCAGCUUUCUACUUGGGCAAUAUUUUGGGUAUCAAUGGUUCAUUCUUCCGACAUUUACAGUAGAGGUAUGUUAUUUGUGUAGCUAAUGUUCUUAUCUAAUUAAUGGAGCUUUGAUAUUUUUCAAGCUUGCGCACAAACUUUCAUGUAAUUUAUCCUAGUUUUGAAGAGCAUAUUUUCGUGAAUAUUCCUUUAACUUGCUCAGGCUUGCCCCGUUAAUCACUACCAAUCUUUGUCACCCAAUUCCCCCAUCAGAGUGUACUUGUUGCGUAUAACUUAAAAGGUUUCAUGGAUUAUCUUCACUGCUUUUCGUAUGCUCUUAGAUUUCCUGUUGUACAAAACAUGUUCUUAGUCCUUGAAUGACAUCUGAGGCCUGAUCAGCAGUUUAAAUUUUGACUAAUUUUCUGAAGGUUCGAGAAUUGGAAAUAGUGGUCUGUGGAGUUGAAGAUAGUAGUGGAGGCAGCCAUGGCUACCUGUCAACGUAGUGAGUUGAUGGUGAUAUUGGUGGUAGGUAGUUCUACGCAGGGAAGUAGCGGUCGACUGUGAAAUUUGAUGGCUGAGUUGAAGAAAGUUAAGGGGGGUGGAGGCAGGGUUUGGGACAUGCUAAUGCACGGAGGUGAUGGUAGAUGAAGCGAUGGUUCUAAACAUGGAAACAAUGGCCUCUGCAAUUUGAUGGCAAGAGAUGAUGAAAGAUAAGUAGUGGAGUCGGAGUUGGCUUUCAGACGCGCGAUAAUGCAUGGAGGUGGAGGUCAAUUGCUAUAGAAAUGCAAUUAGCCAGUGACAGCACCACCACCAUCUUAGAAAUAAAACAUAAAAUAUAUUUUUUCCUAACCCACAUAACCAUCCAUCGCAGAUUCGCAGUAGAACCAACACAUGCAAUGGGCACCUCGCCAGCCCAUCUCCAUCCUUUUGCAAGAAUCAAAUCAUAACCCAGAUAAUAGAGAUUUGGUUCCAAGAAUCCGAAACCUUUUUAUGCGAUUUGAUUCUUGACACGAAUUGUGGAGGAUUUGUGAAUGUCCAGUUAUGGUGGUUGUUAUGCUACGAAGGGGGGGUGGUUUGGAGAAAAAUAUGGGACUGUUUGGGAGUGAUUUUGAGAAUUGAUAUUUUAACCGUUAGGAAAAAAAGUGAGCUCCACCUGUGAGAGAAGAAGUCAAAUAUGAUGGGGGCAGGGGUGGUUUGGAGAAAAAUAUGGGAUUAUUUGGGAGUGACUUUGAGAAUUGAUAUUUUGAUCGUUACGAAAAAAAUGGGGUCAAUCUGUGAGAGAAGAAGUCAAAUAUGAUGGGUAAAAUAGUGAAAUAACAGUCAAAAUUUUUUGGGCCAAAAAAUCACUCUCAAACAGGCCGUAUAUGUACAUAUUUCUUGGAUUAAUUUUUGUAAGGUGAUGGUGGUACCAUUGUCACCACCAAUAUGACUGCAUUUGUGGAGAUGAUAUUUGGCCGCUGAAGGGUGGGCGUGGGGUAGGCGAGUUUGGCGAUGGAGUCGAAAUAUUUACUUUUUAAGAUUCUUCAUUUUUAGGUGUUUAAUUAUUUCAAGUGUAAUUUAUUUGUAUUUUUGGAAAAUUAUGGGACUAUAUUUUCAAUUAUUCCUAAUUUUUGUUGUUUUAUUACUUUCUUUUAUUUCUGUUUAUUUAAAAAGGAGAUCAAGAAUGAUGAUUUUUUGAAAUGUUGGGACAGAUAAUGCGAAAGAAAAGAUCGAGGGUAUAUUUAUCAUAUUUUAUAAAUAUUGAGGACGAAAAGUGAAAAAUUUCCUUUAAACUUAUCCAUUUCAUCUCAAGUCUCAACUUUAUCUUCUCCAACAAUUUUCUCCCAUAAUCGGACACGUAAAAUUUUUUCUAAUCAAAUAAUAUUAAAAAAUCAAUUCAAUAAUUGUAGCAUCCUAUCCUACCAUACCCUAGGUUACAGAAAACGAUAUCACAUAAUGGAUAAACAUGAUUGGGUAUUAUUUUUAAAUCCGCGUCUUAAUCCGUACGCGUCAGCACCUGGUAUUGAUUCGGUGGGGCCGUCAUGACACGUGACAAAAUUUCCUUGCGGUAGCACGCGUCGUGCCAAGAACCAGUCGUUUGUUAAUUACUUCUUCCCGUUGAUUUUUAAAACCGACAUUUGACUUGAGAGAUAGGCUACGAUACGCAUGGUUCCACUCAAAUGAUUUCAUUCACACAAUUUAACCGGUGGGCAUUAUUUGGAAAAAGAAAUAUUUUAAAUAGUAAUUUUUAACAAAAUGUGUGAUUAAAAACUAGAAAAAUUUCAUGGUUACAUAUAUUAUUUAUUUGUAUAAAUGUAUGACGAAAAAUGAGUAUUUAGAAAAAAUAAUUUUCAAAUAAUGAUCAUCAGAGCUUACUUCCCAUUUCAUAAAAUAAUAAAUCGUCAAAAUUUAGUGCUUGUUCGAUAGGGAUUUUGAUAAUUGAUUUUUUAACCGUUAAUGAUAAAGUGAGUCCCACCUGUGAGAAGUAAAUACAAAAAUGACGACUGUAAUAGUGAAAUAACGAUCAAAAAAUUAAUUUUAAUUGACUUUUUAGUUGUACUAAACAAGCUCUUAAUUAUAACCACACUUCACGAUGAAUCCUUAAGUAUUAUUUAUCAUUUAUUUUUUAAUUUAUUAUUUUAUUUACAAAUUAAAUUAUUCAAACAUAUGAUUGAAAAUUAGCACUCUCAUUGUUGGCAAACACUCCAAUCAUCAGCCUAUGCAUGAUAAUCAUUCUUUGAGAAUUUUUUUGGGAAAAAAAUCAUAAAUCUGAUAUUAAGUAUGGAGAAUCCAAAAAUUAGGUUUUAAGUUUAUGAAAUACAAAAAUCAUGUUUAUUAGUUAAUUAAUUAAAAUAUUUAUAAAUUAAAUAUAAUAAAGUCACAGUUACACGAUUAAUGGUCACGAAUUCAUAAUUAUAGGUUGUAGAUUCAUUAACUGGUAACAUAUCGUUAAAUUAGUUGGUCACAAAUCAAAAAUUUUAUUGGUUACAGAUUAUUUUGAAAAUUAUUUCGAGGUCAUAUAUCAUUCAAAUUACAGGUCAAAUUUUUAUCUAUUGGUCACAGACGCCUAAAUGUUGGUCACAGACACCCCCACCCACCUACCACCACUGCAACAACAACUACCAACAUCAUCAACAACACAACAAUAAUUGGUCACCACCACCGUCAACAACUUCACAUGUACCUCCAACAAAUAUUGCCGUCAGAUCCACCAUCACCACUAAUAUCUGUACCUGUACAACCAACAAAAACUAUCUAAAACCCCCCAAUAACACUAAAACAACUCCCAAACCACCACAACACGACGCCACCAUUGCUGAAAGCCAUAGCAGGCCCAAACCACCACUACCACCACCACAAGCUUCGACACUGCCAUCACCGAAAAUCACAGUAGCCCCAAACCAGCUCUACCACUACCACAUCCCGAAGCCGACACUACUGAAAAUCACACCGGAGAUCAUAGCGACCAAGUUUUUAACACCACAAUGCUUACAUUCCUGACAAGCAGCCUCCACCACCACCACACCCCAACGUCUCCAUCUUCGAAAAUCACAGCAGUCCCAAACCACCACUAAUACCACCACUGAAAACCAGGCAGCUCUAAACCACUACUACCACCAUCACACCUCGACGCCGCCACACUAGUUGCUAUGGUGACCGCACUUGGGGAGAGAAAAAGGCAUCGCCGUUAGGUGGUAGUGACUGACAAGGAUACAGUGAAGUUAGAGAGAGACGAGAGAAGUGAGAGAAGGAAGAUGGAUUAAAAAUGAUUAGGGUUUGGGAGUUAAUUUGGAUAUUUAAUUAUUAUAUCAAUACCUGAUUUUUGCAUAAUAAAACUUGAUCCAUGAUUUUUGGAUUGUGAUCUUUAAAUCCCCGCUAUUAUGUAAUUUCCACAUUUUUUUCUACAUAUCAAUUUUCAAUCAUGUACUUACACAAUAAAAUAUUUUGUACGUAGAUUUAAUUUUUUUCUUAUUUUUUAAAUAUAUAUUUCUUAAAAAUGACUAUUCAAAAUAUUAUUUUGACCAAAUAAUAAUCAUCAAAUAGUGGCUUAAUAAAAAGAGUAUUGCUAUUUAACCUCACUGGGUGAUACAACGUGAUAUUAAUUGAUAGAUUCAUUUAAUUUCACAUUUCAUUUAAGCUAUUAUUUAAUUCCAUAUAAAUUUAAAAAAAAUUCUUAUUUUUUAAACAUAUAUUUCUUAAAAAUGACUAUUCAAAAUAUUAUUUUGACCAAAUAAUAAUCAUUAAACAGUGGCUUAAUAAAAAGAGUGUUGUUAUUUAGCCUCACUAGGUGAUACAACGUGACAUUAAUUGAUAAAUUCAUUUAAUUUCACAUUUCAUUUAAGCUAUCAUUUAAUUUCAUAUAAAUUGAUAUUGCAACCUCGGUGACACUACGUGUCUUUGCAAUGGUUUCAAAUAUUUCUAUCUUAAAAAAUAUUAAAUUAGUCACAUUUGUCAACCAAGCAAACUACAUCGUUAAUGUCUUCGACACGUAGUCAAUGAAUUGGAACCCUCCGGAAAAUUGCAUUUAUGGGUCUCCAUUGAAUUCAAAUUUUGUACGUUUUCUUUUUCAGCUGCCAGCUAUAUAAAGCCCUGUCUUCCAUUCCCACUCUCCAAAAUUCCUGAUUCGUAAUCUCUCUCUACAAAAAACGCGCACUCUCAUUUUAUAUAUAUCUAGAUACGCGCUUGUGUGUAUAUAUAGGUGUAUCGAUCUCUGUAGCAGUCUGUUACUGUGUAUACAAAUUUGCAGGGAGGAUCGACGCUAAAGAAAUUGAUCGGAGCUGUUCGGAUCGCGAUCAGGAGUGAAAGUUCGUUAUUCAGAUAAAUUUUGAUGUUAUUUUUCUGUCUUUCCUUGGUGUUGUUAUGACUUUGUGUUGACUUUGAAUUUUAAGGUAUGAAUUUUGAGGAAAUUUUAAAGAUUUGAGAGUUUUCGUGGACUAGAUGUGAAAAAAAAAAUGUGGAACUAAGUCUUCUUGGUUUACGAGAGAACAUCUGGGUAGAAUUGACGGGAGAUUCGAAUCUUCGCUUUAUGUGUAGUUAUCACUUGGAUUUCUUCUCUUAUCUGGUUUUCGGAUUUCUUCCGAAUCGAUCUGAAAAGAAGUUUUACUGUUUUUAAUUUUUUGAUAGAAUGGUAAUGGCUAUCAAACUGCAUCUCGCUUGGAUGUAACUGACUUCUCUCUCUCUCUCUCUCUGGGAGAGCUAUGCAUAAAUAAGUGUUUGUUUCAUGUUAUUGUAAAUCGAUCACAAGUACGUAAAUUUGGUAAAUUUCUGUCUAUGCAUGUAUCGCUGUUGAUUUGUAUGCCUGAUAUUUACGAAUAUCUGGUGUAUAUGUAAAUUUUCUCAUGAAAUGUUCAAAAUUGUUCGAUUCAGUCCCGAUGGAUGUCCCCCAACUCGAUCCUUAAUGAGGCUCGGCUUGUUGAAUUAGGAUCCGUGUGUCCUUGACUUGUCCUCUUGUUGAUCAAGUUUUUUUAUUAGCUUUGGUUAAUUGAUGGUUCUUGUGUGUUUUUGCUUUUACUGACUUGUCCUCUUGUUGAUCAAGUUUUUUUAUUAGCUUUGGUUAAUUGAUGGUUCUUGUGUGUUUUUGCUUUUACUAUACGGUUAAAAGAAUCCAAGGUGCUUAAGGAUGGAAACUUUCCUAGAUACAAUUAGUCACGCGAUAUUGCAGGAGCAAUAUGUUUAGAAUCGAGUAUGAUGCAUUUAUCACUUGUCCAAGAUAAUUUUUGUGAUUAUGGGGAUGAAAAUACAUCUUCCUGUCGCAUUUUCUCCUAAUCUAUUGAUAUUCUAACCAACUAAUUUCUUGCCAUUUAGUUAACUCUAUGAUCGAGUUUAUUGUGGAAAUGACAAAUCAGGUUUAUCGUCCAAGUGUCAGUUGCUGGUGGAUCUUUACAGUGUUGGAUCCACAUAGGAUUGUUUGUAAAUCUUUUCGACCUUGGUUCCGUAGGAGCAAGUUAGAAAGAUUGAGAGAUAGAACCAUCCGAUUUAAUUCGUUCUCAAUAGUCAUGAAAUGAUCAUCUGCUUUAGGAUGGAAGCUUUCCUAGAUACAAUUCGUCAUUCAAUAUUGCAGGAACAAUAUGUUUAGAAUUGAGUCAAUUGACUGAUGAUGCAUUUAUCACUUGUCCCAGGAUUUUUGUUGUGAUUAUAGGGAUGACAAUAUAUUUUCCUGUCGCAUUUUCUCCUAAUCUAUUGAUAUUCUAACCAAUUAAUUUCUUGCCAUUUAGUUAACUCUAUGUUCAAGUUUAUUGUGGAAAUGACAAAUCAGGUUUAUCGUCCAACUAUCAGUUGCUGGUGGAUCUUUACUCAGUAUAGGAUCCACAUAGGAUUGUUUGAAGCAAGAACUUUGAUUGUAAUUACUCUUUUUGACAUACUUUAGGUCACUGAUGAGAAUUGAUGUACGUUAAGUGGCCAAUGCUUCUAUCUAUAUUGUUAUUCUAUAGAUAAAACAGACCAUUUGCGAACUUAGAGAUUGUUCGUUGGAUAUUGGAUUUGCAAUCAAAUUAAGAUGAACUUCGACGCCCACUAUGUUUUAACAGGCUUGACGUGCCAUAUUCUUUUGUUUUAGUUCCUGCCAUCCACUAAUUAAGACAACUCAGCUUAUUUCAGGAAGAAUUAAUCAUUAUUGCUGCUUAUAUUUUUAGAACUAUUCUUUCAUUACAACCAGCCAAAUCUAAGUGUUACCUGACCCUACAUAAUGUGGCCGAAUUGGUUUCCUACUUAUAAUGGAGUAAGUGGUGAUGAGCUCUUGAAGUAAGGGUCUAGUUGUCUGGAAGAGGUAGAGAGAUCCUUGGUUGCAUAAGGCUCUCAUUGCUGGACGAGCUUGCAAUGUUACAAUAUCAUCAGCUAGAUUAGACAGUAAUAAUAACAGAAACAGUAGACAUGCUAGUUUUGAGAUUCGUGGAAGACACUAAGAGAAUAAAUUAACAUGGUAGUAGAUAGGGGAGAAGUCUCUCCACCUCAAAUUAGAGGCCUUUUUUCGUCAUUCCCUUCUUUUUCUUCUUUCCCCAUUUUAGUGUAAGUUUUUCCUCAAAGAAGACAUUGCGGAAUCAUGGAUUGAGGUAGGCCUCUUCUCAACGAACAAGGAACGUAACUGGUCCUACAAACUCACAAACUCCUUUUUGUUCUGUCUUAAGAAUGCAGUUGAUACAUUUAUCUAUUUGCUUUGACCAUAGGUUGAGCUGUCCAUGCUUAGAUGGAUUUGGACUCCAAGAAUCAAGUGUUGUGCAAUGGUUACUAUCCACUGUUGGAAGCUUUGGAAUUGUUGUAGAUCUACUUGUUUUGAUGAAUUCUCCUACUUGGAGUUUCCUGGCUGGAGCAGUUCAACCUUUGUUGGAUUUUGUUGUUGCUGAUUCAAUUGGUCUGCCGCGACAUGCAAGAAAGGCGUGGCGACCUGAAUAGAUAUGCAUGAACAGGCUUAAACAUCUCCUAAGUUAAUUUUUGAAUGCAGGUGCUUUAGGACCAUUCCAGCUGCUAGGUACAUUUUUUCCAAUCAUAAGAUAAGAUGGCUUCGAUAGCUGUUGAUUAUUCUGGAUCUCCACAUUUUGAGCGAAAACCCCAACAAACUAUAUUCACUGAGAAAAACAACUUUGAGGCCGGGGACUCAGACUCGCAGCAGUUCCAUGAAGGGUGCAUUCCUGCUAAGGACUUGAUUUGUCGGGAAAAAGUUAGUAACACGGAAAUUCACAAUAAAGGAUACUUGGAAUAUGGGUAUGCAUUUGUGGCUGUAUCCAUGGCUAUUUGCAAUUUAUGCAUCUGCUAAAUUUUUUUGCUAAUACUGAUGAUUUCUAUUGACAGGUGUUCCCAUUAUCGUCGAAGGUGCCGCAUCAAGGCACCGUGUUGCAACGAGAUUUUUGAUUGUCGUCACUGUCAUAAUGAAGCAAAGGUAGAUGUCUAUCAAUUCAUUUUCACCGAAGGUUUACUUUGUGUUUAUUUCUUUGGGUUCUAUCAGAUGUGUGUAUUUGGCAAAGAUAAGUAUGACUCAAAAAUGGCAUUCUAUGUGAAAUAAAAAUUUCGUGAGAUCAAAAAAUUCAAAUGCUAAAAGUUGUACAUUGUUUUGAAAUUUCAAGGUAUAGAACACUUAUUAUGAAUCCCCUGAACCGGUCAUCUUUCCUUUUUACGGUUUCUUUUUCAGCUUUUGAGGGGUUUGGAUUACAUUGAAUUUAGAAAAUGGGUCCGUUGUUUUUUGUAGUCUUUUAAAUAUUGCAAAAGAGUGACAUGAUGCUGAUCAUAUUUUAUCUUGGUCAACAGAACAAUAUUUGCAUUGACCAAAAGUUCAGACAUGAUGUCCCUCGCCACCAAGUACAGAAGGUAGGCUUUUUCUCCUGUCUUAACCCGUUCCACUUGUUCACAUGUUAUGUUCCCGAAUUUAUUUCUUUUACCGUGUUUUUGUGCCCUUCCUUUUUCUUUCAUGCUUGAAAUACUGGAGUUGAUCUUAAAAUGAUUUUUCUCUGUCUUUUGCAGAUCAUAUGUUCACUUUGUGACACUGAGCAAGAGGUUUGUUUUGUGAAGCGUGUGCUUUAUUAUAAUUUUCUAAUUGAGAUUCCUGGCCUCCCUAAUAAGAACACUGCAUUGAGUUUAAAGGAUGAGCUUUACAAAUAGCUCCCAUUUGUUUAUCAUUUUUGGAAGAAUGAGAAUGAAAAAUAUAGUCGUUACGGGCCCCACACAAGAGAUAGAAAUUCAAAUUUGGUGGCUUGAUGUGAUGGAUAACGAUCAUAUUUUUUAUUUUAAUGAAGAAAUAAUGGGAACCAAACACGGGCUAAAUAUUAUCUGGGUCAAGGCUUCAUUAAUUCAUUACUUGAGACCUGCUGAAUAUUUGGUUGAAUUCUGACUCUGUGUGUGUGUUGGGUGGGAAGAUGGCCUUCCAAAGAAAUUUUUUCUUUUUUCUUUCCACAGUUUUCUUUUUCUAUUCAACUGAAAUCUUUUUUCCUUGUCCCGCGGUUAUUCCAGGUUCGACAAUUUUGCAUUAAUUGUGGUGUAUGCAUGGCUAGAUAUUUCUGUGGAAUCUGCAAGCUGUUUGAUGAUGAUGUAAGUAACAUGCAUCCUCUCCGAUGAUAUAGACCUUUUUCUUGAACAGUAAUUAUCUGUUUGGAUCAACGGGUGUUGAUAUUUAACCGGACACAACCUGUGUCAAUACUAAAGUACUUGGUGAAAUGUGAAAUGUUUUUAUGAUGUAGACUGCUAAGUUGUACACGCUGAUAACAAAAUUGAAUUGCCAUUUGUAGAUCUCAAAAGGACAGUUUCACUGCAGUGGGUGUGGCAUAUGCAGGUAUGAUUGCAACUCCAGACAAACCCAGCCCUCCCAUUAUUUCUGAUAUCACCUUUAAUUUAGGUCAUCCUUGCUUCUAGAUAUUGUUCUUUUGAACUAGAUGAAAAUCACAGUUCCCCAAAAAAAUAUAAAAAAAUAAAAAUGUAUGACAGAGAUGGCAUACCACGAUAGCUGGAAAUUAUAGAAUAAAAGUAAUCGAGGCAAAACACGAAGAGGAAUGGAUAACUUAUAUAACUGUUGUCUUUUAUACUAAAAAGGUUAAAGACUAUUUAGAUGAUUCCUAAUAACCUUCGAAGGAAAUAAUCUGUUGACAAAGUCACUAUUAUGGAAAUAAUCACAUAGAGUUAACUAGUGAAACACCUUGAUUUCUGGACUUUCCAAGAUAUUCAAUGUGUAAGAGGAAAGAAGACUGGUGAAUGAGGAAAGUCAAAUCUUCCAACACUGACGAUUUGUACCUUGGAACGAGGGUCACUGUCAAUUCAAACAAGAACCUUGAUAAUCAAGACACACUUUAAUGUAAGACAUAUAAUCGCCAAUUAGUUUUUCUUGUUAACAUUUUGAAGGAAAUUUUCUCAUUAGUUAGUCGAAGGAUUUCAUCAUAUGAUUGUGAGGAUGCAUGAUUGUGUUUGGUUUCCUGCUGCUAACAAUUACUCUGUUUCAGGGUUGGAGGGUCUGAGAAUUUCUUCCAUUGUGAUAAUUGUGGUAGUCUACCUCUCCCUUCACACCACCCCAACUAAAAAAAUAAUUUAUUACGCAUUUAUGAUAAGCGUUGCUUCCUGGUUCUUAUCGUCUUCUUUGCAUGUUAUCUAGGAUGUUGCUACUCGAUCCUUCUGAAAAACAGCCACCCCUGUGUGGAGAGAGCAAUGCAUCAUGACUGCCCUGUAUGCUUUGAGGUAAGAACGACAUUUAAUUUGUCAAUACUCGAACUUUCUUUCCCACUUUAUGUAGAGUUCCUUUUGCGAAUUUAUUAUCUCUUAGUGCUGCACUGAUGGUAAGGUCCUUCUCUCCAGUACCUUUUUGAGUCGAUGAACGAUGUAACUGCUAUGCCAUGCGGCCAUACCAUUCACCAGAAAUGCUUGGAGGAAAUGCAGGAACACUACCAGUAAGUGAAGAUUUUACAUGUUUUUUUGUUCUCUAGGCCCUGUAGAGGUUAUAGUUUUGUUAUAACGAUUAGAAAUUGAUUGAUUGUUGAACAGAUAUGUUUGCCCUCUCUGCUCCAAAUCAGUUUGUGAUAUGUCAAAGGUGUGGGAGAAGUUUGACCUGGAGAUUGCAGCUACACCCAUGCCAGAAUCUUACCAGAACAAAAUGGUAUCUCUCCUCUCCUCUCUUUUGUCCCUCUCGUCUCAAGUCUUCCAUAAAUGUUGUACGUGAGAAGUCAUGUCGAAAACCAAAUUUACGUAAAUAAAUGUGUCCCUUACUUGAAAACCUAAGCGUGUGUUAUAUUCUAGCAUACACAGAAUGCUGAUCGAACUUUGAUUAACAGGUUUGGAUUCUCUGCAACGAUUGUGGAGCCAAUUCAGAAGUGAAAUAUCAUGUUGUGGCCCAGAAAUGUCCUAAUUGCAAGUCGUACAACACCCGUCAAACCAGAGGCAAUAGCAUAUAGGGAUAUAUUCACUCUUUAGUGCAAUGAAAGCAAUCGCUUUUGCUGGAAGCACUUUGGGUUCUCUCUCCUUUUGUUAACUUUGUGUCGUAGCUUUUCAAAGUUGUUAUUCUUUUAUUGAAUUUCAUCUAUGCGUGCUAAUGAUUCAGAAGUAGAAUAAGUUCGUUACUUUUGUCUCCUUUUCUUUAAAAUUCUUAUGUUCUUGUACUCAUUUUUGAGCAAAUAUUUACAUAAUAAAUAUUUACUCAUAAAUUUAAAUUUUUUCUUUAUUGUUUAAUUACAUAUUCGUCAAAAAAAAAAAUCACUGGUCAUAAAUAUUUUUUUUCUCAAAGGCAUUUUAAUUAGGAAUUUGAGUAGAGGCUAAAUUUUUUGCUAAUUUUUGACUUUGACCGCAAUCUCUUCCAUGUUGUACGUGGUAUAAGGACACGCAAUAUCAUACAAACAAUUUAAAUUCAGAUGGAAAGAUCAAAUCUUACCGUUAUGAUUUUCCCUGCACUAAGCUAUACCUUCAAAUUUUGAACUCUUGAUUUUGAAUGACAACACGUUCUUGUCUACGUUGAGCCUCUGAGUUUGAGAUUUAAGUGAGUUGGAGAUUGUAUCAUGUUACAAGUAUAGAAUUUUUUAAAAGAAAAAUUUUACAAACAACACAUAAUACGACAUUAUUCAAAGAUGAAAAAAAAAAAAAAAACAGUGAACUUAUAUUUUGUCACGUCAUUGUUGGUACAAAUUUUGUUAAAUUUUUUUUGUACUUAUAGAGAAGAAUUUAAAGAUCAUUCAAUACUGAAAACAAUAAAAUCCUAAGUACACAAAAAAUUUUAAUAGAAUUUGUACCAACAAUGACAUGGCAAAAUGUAAGUGGAUUGUUUAUUUUUUUCAUCUUUCAAUAAUGUUGUGUCAUGUGUUGUUUGUAAAAAUUUUUUGUUAAAAAAUUCUGUACUUGUAGCAUAAUUCAACUAAAAUGUAUGGGUUUUCCUAAUGCGACAUGGUUGGGGAUAGGCCCUGUGAUGGGGACCACCUCAACCCUUGACACCUAAUGUGUUAUCGACAGUAUCUUAGAUAUUAAACUCAAAUCAAUAAUUAUUUUUUUUAUUAAUUUUUUUCAUUAUUCUCGAAAAAGCUCGCUCGGUGAUUUUGCUUAAAGGGCUUGAGCUGCCACUAUGGCGAAUGUAUGCAUGUGCAUAUUAUACACGUGUAAUGUGAUCUGAAUCAUUUAUGUUUAAAUUUAUUUUGUUAGUUUAAAGAAUUUUCUUUAGAAGAAAAUUUAUUUUUUGUCAAGUUAAAGACCACAAUAUUAUUUAUGUAGGAUAAAAGUAAUAAAGAAUUAUUAAUAUUUUAUUAACAUUUAUUUAUUUAUUUUUGUUCGUUUCAGAAAAUUAAUCCAUUAACCCACCCACGAUUUUAAUUAUAUUUUCUUUUAUGUAGGUUUCUUAAUAAAAGCCAUGUUUAAUUCAGUUUGGAGUUCUCAAUAUUUUGAAUAUUGAAUUUUUGAAUAAUGUAAUUAAAAUGUGGAGAAAAAUUUUGAAUUUAAAAGCAAAAUAUUUUAUUAUGGAAAUUUGUGAUUGAAAAUGAGUAUGUAAAAAAAAAAUGAAAUAAAGGAUGUGCAAUUAUUAAAAUUUAAAUUAAAAUCAACAAUUAAUUUUAAUCACAUAUUUCGAAAAACCCACUAGUUACCAUGCUCUUCACACAAGAUACCUCAAUUCUCAACUGGCCUAACAGAAGACAUAUCCAUCAGGUAUUCAUCCGACAAUCAAAUGAUAAUUUACAAAGAUCACGAGGAGAUAAAGUUUAUCAGAUUGAAUUGUACAAUACAAAAUACUUUUGAAAUAUGUAUACAAUUGAAACUUUUGAAAACUUUGAUAAACUUUUUUUAAGCGAUGAUUUAUGUGGAUUUCGUAAAUUUGUAUUGAAUUAGUAAAAGUCUUUCAUUGACUUCUAUAGAUUUUCAUUUUAAAUUUUUUAUAGACUUUUGUAUAAUUUAAAAGAUUUUUGAAGACAUCCAUUUAAAAUAAAAUUCAAUUGAAUCCCAGUAUAAUAAUGUGAAAUUUUUAUAUACCAGGUGGUGAUUCUCACAAUUUUCCUUCCCUUCCCCAUAUAAUAAAAAGUUAUUUUUAAAAAAAUGAAAAGUCAAUGUAUUUAAAUUUAAUUAUAAAUUCGUCAUGUGAAAUUUAAUAAAAACUAGAUAUUUUUCCCCAAAAAAAAAAAGAAGGAAAGAAGGAAAAAAAAUAUUUAUAAGAAUUCGAUUUAAUUUUGUCACAGAAAAUUGAGAUAAACAAUAUGAAAGAGAGAAAUAAAAAAUAGAAAUAAAUAUAAUCAAUAAAAAAAAAUCAUAACUCUAAUGUUCGUAGAUAAAAAGAAAGAGAAAUAUUGAAGAAAAUACAUAAUAAUAAUAAUAAUAAUAAUAAUAUUAUUAUUAUUAUUUCUGUGGAAGUUUCAAAAUUUGAGAUUUUAUAUGAAUAUUUUCUAUUUAAAAAUUAAUAUCCUAAAGACUUUUAUAAAAAUCUCUAGAAGUUAUUAAAAAAUUUAAAUGCCCCAAAAUUUAUAUAAUUAAACACAUCAUGAUUUUUAGAUACAUUUUAAAAGUCUAUUAAGAUCUAAAUUGAGUAGAUCAAUAUUUCUAGAGUCUCUUAAAAAAAUCUACAUUAACUACCCCAAACUUUUUAAAUUCCACAAAGUUAUUAAAAGUUUUAACUGAAUACACCCCCUUUAACUUAUUUUUCUUCAAUAAUACCUUAUUAUAAACAUAUAUUUCUUGACCUUUUUCAUCACGUGAAAAUUUUACUUCAAGGAGAUGCUGCUUUUUUAGCUACAAGCAUAAAAAGGCACCAACUACAAGCUUACAACGUAAUGACAACAUGUUUGAGUAGUGUGUAUAAACCAUUUUAAUUAUAAAUAGAUAAAAAUGAUUCGUGGAUAAUAUAUAAUAUUUAUAAAUUCCUUGAAAUAUUUUGAUAAAAAGUUAUUUGAGUAUUUAUAAAUAAUCUAUAAACACGAGCCAAACAUGAGCUUAGUUUCAAUCAAGAGAAAUAGCCAACAUUAGUGCAAACGUAUAUAAAAGAUUUUCAUAUUUUAUGCUUCUCACUAAAUACCAUCCGUGAAUCUCAUGAUAAGUACCUAAGCCCCUGUUUGGGGCACAUUUUCAAGGAAGGAAGUAGAAAAAAUUUUACCCUUUUUUUCAAAUGUGGAGUCCACUUAAGAGAGAAAAAGUCAAAUAUGGUGGCUGCAUAGUGCUCUCCAACAGUCACAAUUCUCAUUUUUUUGGAUGAAAAUGUGCCCCAAACAGGGGCUAAAUAUUCUUGAUGAACUUCGAUAGGAGUUUUCCUAAAAACAAUAACAUGAUCUAGUCAUACCUCUUGAUAGAUAGCUACUACAUCAAUUCGCUGAGCUCAUGAGGAAGUCAGAUUAAGACGUCAACUCAUACAGGAGACGUAAAAAAAAAAAAAAGGUAAGGGUUAUACUACAUGUAAUGUACAAGUAGUAUAACAUUAUUGGAGAGAAAAAACAAUUUUUUCACCCUCUAAUAAUGGAAUUUCACAUGUACAUUAUAGACACCCUUAUAAAUACCAUAAUGCACAUAUAGAAUUAUCCAAAAAAGAAUUCGAGUCUUGGCUAUCGCUUCAAGAAUGUAAGCUUAUCCUCGACUUGCUUUCAUUAUCGAUACAUAACAGAAAAUGAGAAAAAACCACAGUAUAUUCAUAAAACCUUUUGCAUUAAAUUUAGUUGAAGACUUGUACAUCAAAUCUAGCGAAUACAUAGUCUACUGCCCUUCUGAAUAAGAUAUCACCACAUAAAAUUCUAGUGAUAUACCAAGAAAGUUAGAAUUAUAAGAGACGAAACACAAUCAACAUAUGCAACAAGUAUCCAAGGCUGCUAAAAGAUGCACAAACAGCUCUCAAUGGAUAUAAGGUCGGGGAUGUAUACCUAAGUCGAGGUUUCCAUCAAUCACGGGCAGUGUCUCAAGAUGACAUAACCACAGCAUCCUAUGUAUCGAUAAACUAAGUGUCGUCGAAACUUUCUUCACAGUUGUUCAACUCAUGAGAGUUUUCUGAAGAAUUAUUUUUGGCUUUCUCCAUCUCCUGAUCAAUCAAAAUCUCCUGCGAGCGGCAACUCCAACUGCAAAAUGCCUUCUCGCCCCUGUCAAGACAUCAAUCGACCAAGAACCAAUUAUAACCUAACGGUGUAAUACUUCAUGCACGUCUAGGAGAAAAAAUUGAGGAAAAUUACACCAUCUGUCCCCAAUUUAAUGCUUGAGUAGCAAGUUGGUCAUCGGCCUUUUGUAAUAGUUGCACAAUUAGUCUCCAACGACGUUAACCAUUCAAAUCUUCGGUUAAUUAUCACAUGGCCCUUAUGAGAACAUGCUUCACUUCAUAUUUCUGGGCAUUGACCCAAAUUGGGAAACAAAGCAUAACUCUAUAGCAUUAGACAUAUGAAGGUCACACGACAAUUUAACAAAUAUCUGAAUGAUUUUUGUGGUUGGAGACUGAUUGUGCAAGGUUGAGUGCAAUUUUCGCAAAAGAUUACUGCAUGUAUCCAGAAAUAAAAGAAGAAAGGAUUGUUGGGGCAAACCUAUACAUGUAAAUAUCUUCCCCUUCCAAUUUCUUCUUGCAAGAGUAACAGAAUUUUAAGAAAUCACUCGGAGGAUAAGAAGCAAUAAUGUCAGAGAGUUCUGCCGCCUGCUGCAAUGCAAUAUCCUCUUCGCUUUCCUUUAAAAAAGUGGUAACUUCAUUGUUGUGACAUUCCAAAACACAGUCACCAAAGAUAUGGGUAAUUUUUGGGUUGGGGCCAUGUUUUCUUACACAGGUAUAGUCUUCAGAAAGCUCAAUCUCACUAGGCGGGAUAUUUCCAAUUAAACCAGUUCUGGAGCCGACGGAUUCCAGAAUUGAACUAAGGUUUUCCUGAGAUGAAUUGCAUAACUUAAAGCUUCGUCCAAUGACUUCCGAUUGUGAAGGCACUGGCUUUAUUGAGUUCUCGGAAUUGAAAUCACCACAUCGCUGAUCAGGCUUCAGGUUAGCUAAAUGUGAAAAAUGCAUUCCAGAAUCUAAUGAGAAAGAGCGGAAAUUAGAGCGGAAAUUUCCAUCCGAUUCCUCUUCAAAUGGGUCUUCCCCAAUUCCAAACAGAACACCAGAAUUGCCCUUUUGAUGAUUUGAUUGUUUGCCUCGGGUACAAGGAAAAAUCGUAAUGUUUUUAGGCAGUGAUUUUGGUGUAUCAGAUGAAUCGGUGUGGGUUCUAAAAUUUGGACUUUUUAUCCUCAUUUGUGGUCCAGAAAGAAUAUUUCUACUAUUGGACAAUAGGAGAACCUUCUCCGAGUGUUCACUUCCAUUUUCAAGACAAUGGAUAAUGCUUAAGCCUACUUUACUACAAUCCCAUCUCUUCUGAUGCCCCUCAUUUGAUAAUUUUGAGACCCUAGAUGGAUUGCUGAGAUUCGAAAACAACUUAAAAUCUAAAGGAGAAGUAGGGCUUCUAAUUGAAUCAGAUUCUGAAUUCUUGGGAUUGAACCCCACAAACAGACUAGGAACAUUAAAGACAGAAAUGUUUUUAGUUUCCUGACCGAAAACAUCAGAAUGAAAAUAAGGCUGUGAAACAGAAUCAGACAUCAAUUGAUCCAUCAGUUGAUUCUUCUGGUUGGAUCUGCUCCUUUUCCUCAGCAUUAUCUUAAAAUCUCAAAAUCUUCCAAACAGCCAAGGCCCCUCUUAAAAAAAUUAUCUGCAAAGAAUAAUUACAUUAAUGAAUUAAUACUCAGAAGAAGAGACGGUAAGAAAGGUGAACACACCAUGAACUGCAGGAAACUUAGCAAUUAAGUGAUGACAGUAGAUAUUAAACAAAGAAUCAAAUUGCAGUUUCUUUUCUCUUGGUUAUUCGUUAAAAAUCAAGAUUUCCAUCAUGGAAUUAUAAAAGAAAAUAAGGACAAAAAGACAGCAAGAUAGUUGAAAACAAUUAAGUGUGAUACACUUCAUACAAUUGAGUCUAGAUUAAGCAAAUUUAGAAAGAAAAAAUAAUAAGAGAUGAACAUAAAGAAUCAAAUUGCAGUUUCUUUCUCGUGGUGAUAAGUUAAAAGGCUAGAUUUUACUAAAAUAUUAAAGAAAAAUCUGUCAGAAUCAAUUGCAUUAUUAUGUUAAUUAACGUAGGAUGAGGAAAAAAAGACAGCAAAAAAAAGAUUAAUUCUAUGAGCUGCAAGAAACUUAAUAAAAUUAUAAGAAACAUUUCUUUUCUUGAUUAUAAGUUUAAAAAACAAGAUUUCUAUGAGGCAAUGAUUAAAGAAAACCUGUCAGAGAACAGCAAUUAUGAGAUGCAACAUUCAAAAAAAAAUGAAGAACGUGAAGGACCUAAAAAAAGAGGAACAAACACAUUUAAAAAAUUCACACAUCAAAGAAAAACAAAAAAUAUAAAACGAAUGAACUUACCCACUAAUGGAAGCCCAGAUUUCAAACAAAAAAUGCUGUGAUCAUGACUACUAAAAAAUUAAGAAAACGAAAGAAAGAAAGAAAACUUUUAGUUUAUAAAUGUUUUUGAUAAAUAUAACACCAAAUAGCAGCAAUUCCCGGAUGACAAAUAAACAAACAAAAUAAGUAAAUAAAAACAGUAAAUUGGUAAAAGCCGUGCCUCUCUGAAGUCUAAGAACAACCAAGAAACUAAUGCAUUAUGUUCAAAUCCAAUACACGAGCCAUGGGAUUCAAAUGAAUAAAUGAGAUGAAUUCUGUGUAAUAUAUAAACAAAAAUAUAUACACACACAAUAGUUAUAGAUACGGAGAAAGAGGGGAAAUUGGGAAAACCCACCUGGUUUUUUUCCCAAAAGAAACUUCGGGGAAAUGGGAUUUGAGAGAAGACCCAAAUGCAGUAAAAACUAAGAAAUAUCUAAAGAGAAUCCCACCCCACGACCCACAGUUUCUUUGCGUGCGUGGUGCAGUACUGCACCUCUCAGUUGCCUCGAAAUAGGAGAGCAGUGAGCUUCUCACGUACCACACCUCCGUAUGUAUUUAUUACACAUGGCAUAUGGUGUUUAUUCAUUUGUUUAAUAUUUUAAUUAGGACUAAUUUGUAUUUGUAUUUAAAAAAAAAAAUGAGACUUUACACUGUUUGGAAGUGAUUUUUUCUCCAAAAAAAUUAAUUUUUUGAUCGUUAUUUCACUAUUUUAGUUGUCAUAUUUGACUUUUUCUCUUACUGGUAGAUUUCACAUUUUUCCUAACGGUCAAAAAAUCAAUUCUUAAAAUCACUCCCAAACAGACUCAGUUUGUAAAUAUUUCUUUAUUUUUUUAUUUUUAUUUAUUUAAAAAUGUUGAUAAAUUCGUCGGUAGAGUUAUUCUGCAUAAUAUUUGGUUGAUUUGAUUUACAAAAAAUGUAAAGGACACACAAUCGAUUGACCUUUAUUUUAGGUAUUAAACACUACUACCAUAAAAGAGUGAAUAUACCAGUUAUUAUUUAUUCAGGACGUAUUUUUACUUUCCUAUUUUACCCUCAAAUAUUUUAGCAAUCACUCUUUCCUCAAAGAAAAUAAGAAAAGACUUGGGCGUAGUUAUUCCAUUUCAACCAAAUUUUUGUGAAUUUUUUUACUCUUGCACAAGUUUACUUGGCCCACAUCUGCAAAAUUUUGUGGCAAGAAAGGGGACAACAAUUGCAGCCGUCGGUCAAAAAUUGCUUGAAAUGUCCAAAAUAUCCUUGUGAUGGUGUAAAAUUUUAAAAAUUUAGGGAUAUCAUGAUAUUUUCAUCAAUCUUUAAUUUACUUGUUGAGAAAGUCAAAAAUUGCUGCAAAACAGUGGUUUUUUCUAUAUAUUUUUCCUAUUUUUCUCCAUUCAUUUGCGUAAUAUCUAUAAAAAAAUAUAUACUACAUUUCUCCGUUCCUUCAUCUCUCCAGAGAGAUGCCCAUAUUUUUUUUCCCACACUCUAAGAAUAUACUGUUCAUUUGUGAAGUGUUUUCAUUUUCUCAUUUUAUCCUUCAAUCCUAUUUUAAUUUUUCAACUUAAUUAAUAUAUCACUACUACUAUAAAAUUAAUUUUUUAAAUAAUCUAAUAAAUUUUUUGACGUCACUUAGAAAAUUUUCUAAUAAACUUUUAAAUUAUUUUUAGUGUCAAAAGAGAUAUCAUUUAAAAAAUUAAAAAUUUCGAUAACAAACUAACUUUAAAAAUUUAUUGACGAUUGUAUGGUAGUCGAAUCCAUAAAUCUUCUAUAUUCUCUCGAACUUGAAACUCGUUUCAAGAACUAUACCAUAAACACAUUGAGUGGUCUAAAUGAAUAUCGAAAAAAAUUAAACGUACAUCAAACAUGUGUAUUCAAAAAUGCGUAUAACUCGUCUUUUUUCUCUAAAAAAAUCAUUCAUUUUAUUAAUGUUUGUUAUUUUUUCGCGAUACUUUUCUUAAUAAUAAUUUACAUCAUCUUCUUAAAAAAAAAAUUAUGUGUAUGACGUUAAUUAUUUUUUUAUACGUAGAAAUUCCUAAUAAAAUUAUUAUCACUUUAUAAUUUAUAUGGUUUAUAAAUUGUUAUACUAUUUUUCCUACUUUUCUUCAUUCCUUUACGCAAUAUUUAUAUAUAAAAAAAACAUUUAUGGCAUUAAAAUAAAAUUUAAUAUAUAUAAACUAACAGCGCGCAUUUAAUAUAUAUAUUGGCAUCUCUGCGCUAAAAAUAAAAUAAAAUAAAAUAAUAAAAUAUUAAUAUAUAUACUGGGCAUCUCCGCACUCGCAAAGCGAAGCAACAUCUCUUCGUGCUACACGGAGAGACAGCUCUCCACUCAGCGCGAAGAGAGUAUUUGGCACAAUUUUUUCCCUCCUUUCGUAAUCGCUUCUCUAUCAAUCACAUCCACUAAUUCUUCUUUCACUUUCUCUUUCCUUUCUCUCACUUUUCCUCGUUCAUAUACCAUUUCCUUUUCCCUUCGGCUCAUUUCCCUUUCCCUUCUCCUCCAAGAGCAAAGGCGUCUCUGGCACUUCGACCCUCGCCCACAUGACUCCUCACAACUGCUUUACCACAUCUUCUCCUCUAACAGAGGUUUUCUUCCGAGCCCCGUCAACAUGGCUGCGGCUCGAACCCAUCUCAAGUGAACAUGGUGGUUGAGGGUAUUUUAGGCCAACUUGCUUGCAGCACCUGCUUCUUGGGUCUAGAUCCAGUUCUACUGCUAUUAGUGGUGUCGUCUCAGGUACUGUAAAAGGAAUUCCUAUUCUACUUCACACCACCUGAAGGUUCGUCUAUUUUUAUGUAUUUAUUCAUGUUAUUUCAUAAAAUUUGAAUAUAUGUGAUUCUGCAGCUUUGUUUUUAUAUCUAUACCACGAAGGAUGGAGAAAGAUUGAUUUUAAUGAGCAUCUUUAGAAGUUUAAUGGCAUUCCUGUUCUUUUUAUCUUUGGGCUCUGAAAAAUGUCCAAACGUGGAUAUAAAUUGCAUAUUGUCUUGAACUUUUUUUUUUCUGUUUAUUAUAUAUGAUUGUAUGUAAAUGCGAAUGUGCAUUUCUCUGUGUAUAUGAAUUCUAUUGGUAACUUUAGUUUACAAUUUGAAUUUUGGUUUCAUAUGAUCUAAGAUGAGCUGAUUUUAGCUUUAUCCAAAAAUUACCUCUUCUUUAUAUUGAUUGCGGACAAAAAUUAAAGGAAUGUUGAAUAAAUUGCUAAGAAAUAUCACUUUUUGUGUGUAAUGCCAAGUGGGAUAGCUAAAAUUUGCAUAUCAGUUCAACUUCUCUAAUUUAAUUUGCAUAUAAGUAAGUGGGAAAAAUUAUCUUGAAUUUAUAUUGACAGCUUGCAGGUAUUCUGCCACUGGCAAUGGUGCACACCUUAAGCAACCUUUUCACCAACACAAGUCUUGGAAAAGUUGCUAUUUCAUUCACUCACACUGUAAAAGCCAUGGAGCCCCUCUUCUUAGUUGUACUCUCAGCUAUGUUCCUGGGACAAAUGGGUGAUUCAUUUUUAUUUUAAUUUCCUUCCUUCUGUGCAUGUAAAUUUAAGAUGAUUAAAUUAUUUCCAUAUUCCAUGAAAGCUGUCCUCAAUUUUUAUGGAGGUAUAGACUUCAGACCAGGUUCCUGGUUGAGAAUGUGAUGGUAUUGUGUAUUUUGGUUAUUGUUUGAGUUGUUCAACUUUUAUAUUUUGGUGUCUAAUUUUGCUCUCCUCUUUGAGCAGUUCCCUACAAUAUGGGUUGUUUAUUCUCUUUUACCUAUUGUUGGUGGAGUGGCAUUGGCAUCAAUGAUUGAGGCCUCUUUUAAUUGGUGAGAAGUAGGAAUGGAUUCGAUGGCAAUAACUCUUACUGCCACAUCUCUUUAAAGCAUGGUAAAUACAUUUGUUUGAGAUAUUCACAUAGAAGUUCUUUUUUGUGAGUGUGUUUUUUGAAGGGCUGGUUUUUGGAGUGCAAUGGCCUCAAGUUUGACCAAUCAAUCUCGAAAUGUCCUUAGCAAAAAGUUCAUGGUCAAGAAAGAGGUAUAUUUCACUCUCAAUUUUGUUUCAUUCCAAUAGUUAACAAUGAAGCGCUGGUCAUUUUCUCAUCCACUUAAAUCACUUUUGCCGAAAUCAGUUGUGGUAAAUUUGUUACCUAAUACUGUCUAGUUGUGACUAAUUGCCUUUCAAGUUAUGCUCAAGUUUGAAUUGCUUGCUUGGAAUACGUACAUGAUCUGUUUGGUUUUCAUGCAGGAAUCUUUGGAUAACAUCACUCUCUUCCGAUAAUCACAAUUAUGUCAUUUUUCUUGUUGGCCCCUGCAGCUAUAUUCAUGGAAGGAGUUAAGUUUACCCCUACUUUCAUUGAAAUUGCUAUAAGUAAAUCUCAAGAACGAAAAUGCUUAUAAUUCUUAUUUAUUAUGCGUUUGAUAAUGAGCAUAUUUCAUAUGUUUGAUCAACGAUUUUGUUCAUAAGAAACAGAAAAAUGUAGAAAUUGACUAUUGUAUUGUUUUCUUCACAUGGGUUGAAUGUCAAGCAGAUUUAUACUAGGUCCCUCAUUGCUGCUCUUUACUUCCAUGCAUAUCAGCAAGCUGUUCAGAUUUUCAGUUAGCGCUGAAGCAAUGAUUAUGUCAUGUGCAUUGUUAAAGUAAAUGCUUAAACCCCCCAAAGCAAAAUGCAAAGAAGUAUAUAUUUGCUAACCUUUUCAUAAUGAAAAUGGUCUUUGCCAUAGUUGCUAAUCUUUUCAUAUUGAUAUUUCUUACAAAAGUUUGUCUGCAGGUUUCAUACAUAAUAUUGCAGAGGGUAUCUCCCGUCACACAUUAUGUAGGUAACUGCGUGAAGUGAGUGGUGGUCAUCGUUACCUCUGUUCUUUUCUUCCGCGCUCCAGUUUCACCCAUUGACUCUUCUGGUAUUUCUCUUAUAAUUAAUGAACUUUAGUCGCAUGUUUGUUCUAAUGGACAAGACAGGCUAAAAUUUUGUUCAUUCCUUUGUCCUAUACAAUCUAAUAUUAUGCACUAAACAUGCAUUGCUGGAAAAAGAAAAAAAGAAAUCGAGUCGCCAAGUACUGACACUAUCUUGCUUGUGGCUUGGCAUCUCUACCGACGAAGUGGAACUUGUUAUUUUAACAACUUUGAACCAUUUUUAUCUUUUAUAUAUUAACUUCCAACUUUUCUGAAAUUUUGAGAUUUGUAUUAUUUCCACAAAUUUUUAUUUUUAUUUUACUUUAUGCUUGGAUCUUGGUAGACAAGUUAAAGAUAAUUUCACAAGUUAACUUCGAAGAUAAUUACAGAAUUGCAUGCAAAUAUAUUUGUUUUAUGUUAAAUGAUGUAUUCUUCACUGAAUUUGAUGUAAAGGAAUUUGACAAGCACAUGUUAGGAAUGUGAAUUGUUUGAACAUUGGGAAGAAGAAUUGUCGGGCAUUCCUUAUAGGUGGAGAUGAUAAAAAAGUUAAUCUUUGGUCCAUUGGCAAACCAUUGGCAAAGCCACAUCUUUAGAGGUUAGUAGAACAAAAAUCUAUUUUGGCAUUCUUUUUAACACAACUAAGUCAUUAUUGUUGCUUGGGCUGCAAACUGUUGGGCAUUGUCCAGUUUCAAUUGAUUGGAGGGAUUCCAUCUCUAUGUAUUUGUUACGUUGUGCAUGGAUUGUAAAGUUAUCAAAUUUAUAGAACAUUGAUGUACCAAAUGAGGAAAAAAUUUAGCUAUAAAAUGGAGGGUAAUCGUGACAAAUUGAUUAUUAAAUGAGGUAUAAUGGUCUUUCCAUUCAUGAAUGUAUCUAUCAAAAAGAUUGUCCCUGGGAAUAAAAUGUGGGAUCAUAAUGCGUUUUCAAAACUUCAUUGCAUCAUUGUCCUCUUUCUUUCUUUUUUCAUUUUCUUCUACAUUCAUCACCUCUUCUGCUUCUUUGUAAAAAUGAGUUUGAAAGCUUUGCUGUCUCAUUUUUUCAUUCUCUAGAGUCCAAAAACAAAGAAAAGCUUCCAAUUUUGUAGAUGAUUGAGUACAACGGCACCCUCUACCAUGGCCUUCUUUCCUCAUUCAAUGAUUGGUUCCUUCUCUUUCUUUCUUCUUUAAGAUUUAUUAAUGAACACUUCUUGUUUAUUAUAUGCGUCUUUAUUUUGUAUGUAUAGUUUGGAAUUGAUGAAUAUGAUCAGGGUUCUUUAACAUCUGCUGCAUAUUAUUUUUACUAGUUGGAAAUUUCAUAUUAAUUAGCUCCAUCUCUCUUUGUUGAGGCGUUAGUUUUAAGGUUCCCCUUUACACGGUCAUUUUGUCAUCUAAUUCACGUUCAAUGAUUUUCUAAUGGAUUAUGUUCGUUAAUGCCAAUUUGUUGGUUUUAGCGACAUGGGUUUAUAUUUGUGUCUUAAAUAUUUUCAAAGUUCUUGUUUAGUAAGCAAAUAUAUAACUAAGUUCAACAAGUAAACAACAGUAUUGUUUUAAUGUACUUCUUUAACCUCCUCGAGAGCAUAAUAGGCUUUAAUAGGUAUUCCAAGCUCUUUUGGUUGUUUUAAAUUCAUAUUUAAUAGCAUGUUGCUCGCUUGUUUUUCCCAUUUUGAAACAAAUAUUAUCUUGCAUUGAUUGGUUAUAUUCUUUCUUAAUACUAUAUAGACAUCUGUGCAAAUAAUUGUCGAGUAAACACCAUCCAAUGACUAAUACAGUUGCAUUUUUCACUGAACGUGCCCAAUUGUUUAAGCACCACCCUGACACUCGCUACCAGCACAAUUCAUAUUGCUAUUUAGACUCCCUCACGUUUGGAACAGGGGAUUGAGAGGCGAGCAUACAAUAAAGCAAUUGAGGCUAUCAAAAGCUUUGACAUUUCCUGAAACAACAAGCGUUAAUGAUGUUUGUGUCGUCAGAUGGCUGCUCGUACAAUUGAUGCCUUAUUGCUUACUGAUUCAAAUGCAUUACUGUGUUGAAUCUUGACCGAUAGGGUAUGGCUUCUAUUGCACAUUUGGUAAAUUUGAAGCAAUUAAAAGUUUAGAUCUUUCUCUUACUCUUGCUUAUCUUCUUCUUCUUCUUCGUCUUUUUAAUUUUUUUUUAAUUUUUUAUUUUUAUUGAAGGAUAUCAUUAUAAGAGUUGUUGCAUGUGUUGUUAAUCUUGGUGAAACACCUAUUUCAAGACUCAUGACAAGAAAUAUUGUUUUGAACUGCUUUUAAUAUUUCAUAUCCAAUGUUAACAUAUUUUCUACUUCUCUUCAUAUAAUUAGCUCUUUAUCUUUAUUGUUUUUUUAUCAGACUUCUGUAUACACCAACUAAAUACUCUCUUCACUUCCCAAAAAUUCAUUCAAUGUACUCCUCUCUCAUGAAUACUCAAUACUCAAGUAACUCAACACACUAAUAUCACCUUCAAGAAAAUUCAAGCCAUGCAUUGCAUGUCCACAAACUAGUUUAUUUGAAAGGAACAAAUAGAGCCCUUGUUUGAGCCCCAUUUUGAAGGAAAAAUGCAUUUUGAAUAGUGUGUUGAUAGAAAAUGUGUGAUUAAAAUUAAGGGAAGUUUUAAAUUUGCGUUUAAUAUUAUUUUAUUAAAGAAUUUGUGAUUGAAAAUUGAAAUAAUGUCAAAAUACUGUUCAAAGAAUGCACUUUUUUUCCCAAAGAAUGGAGAUCAAAUAAGGGCAAAAUUGAAACUAGUUGUGGAAAUACCCUUCUUCCUCCUUUUUUUUUUUUUUUUGCAAACUCAUUUUAGAUAUAUCAACUUUAUGUUAAAUUGGAGAUGUUAGAAAGAUUUUUCAAAUGUAUAGGUGUCUCUAAUAUUGUCACAAAACUUGACUACCUGUAAAUUGUCUUUUAAUAUAAAGAGUACUACACUUGUUUGAGUCCCAUUUUUUUCAAUUAUGUUGCAUCUACAUUCUUAUUUGCACAUUUCUUUACACUCUUUCACAUAAAAAUAUUUACACUUUUGAUUUUAAACUCAUCUAUCACAUCAUUAUACAAAUUUUCUCUACAUAGGGAGGAAUAUCAUCAAAGUGGUAGGGAGGAUGUACAUAUAGUAUUAUUCUAUUUUUUCACUACUCAUUAUUCAUUAAAAUACUAUUCCAAAAUGCAUUUUGGAUAAAGAAAAAAAGGGAUUAAACUACUUGAAAACACAAAGCGUACACUUUGAUUGACACCCCUCUAUAUGUCAAAAUUUGACAAUUAAUUGAAAAAGGUGUUGUCAAGAUCAAUGUAUAUAAAUUUGCCAAUUCAAGUGAGUGUAAAAUAAUAUGUCAACAUUUAUGUACAUGUAGCAUAGUCCUUGUAAAAAAUAAGGAGAAGAGUUUUGAAUUUGCGUAUGAUUAUAUUUUAUUAAAGAAUGAGUGAUUGAAUAUAAGAGAAAUAUAUUUUGGACAUAAUGAAGACCAAACAAGGGCUUUAUUAUAGAAUUUGUGACUUCAAAUAAAUUUUCUAUAAAAAUGUUUUAGGUACUAUUUUGACAGGGCUUUGUUUUUGUUUAUGUUUAUGUUCUUUAUAGAAGAUUUUCAUUAGAAAACUAUUUUAAUUAGUAUGAGAAAAUAAUUUAUAAAAGAGUUUUUUUUCUCAAUAAAAUACUUUUGCAUGUGGAGCUAUAAUUUUUUUUUCGAAUUUUUAACAAUGUAUUCUCAAAAAUAUUACUUUUAAAAAACCAACAUAUCACAAACUCAUAGUGUUUUGUUUUUAGCAAAAUGUAUAAACUUGCCUGAGGUUUACGAGAAUUUAUAGAGACAUCUCUCAUUUUUCUAAAAUUUUAGAAAACUUCCCUUAAGGUUUUAGUUUUUGUAACAGAUUUUUCCAUGUCAACAAAAAGUUUAAAAUAAAUAUACACUUCUUAUUCUAUUUUAAGCUCAUGUUUGUCUUUCAUUUUUCAAACUCUCCGUCUCUCUCUUUUUAGAAACUCAUUUUCAAGUUCCCAUUCUUCCAAUGAAAUAUUUUAACGUAAACUCAAAACAUUUUCUUACUUUUUAACCGCACAUUUUUCAAAAAAUACUAUUUAAAAACUCAUUUUCCCUAAAAAAAAUCUUUUUAAUGAACAUCAAGCAUUGGUUAAAAUUACCAUACUAUUAUAUUUAAAUUAUAUAUUUUUCUUUUCUUAUUUCUUAAGAUUUCAUACUUUUCAUUAGACCCUUUUUGGUUCGGCUAUAAAAUUUAAUUAAAAUCUAAGUCAAAAUUAAUAAUUUUUUUAACCAUACAUUUUAUAGGAUACAAUUUUUGAACCACACAUUCCAUCAUUUUUUUUUAUCAAAAUCUAUUAAAAAAUUGAUUUUUAUCUAAACCAAAUUGGGGCUUAGAUAAAAUAUUUCAUUUAAAAAAAAAAAGUAUCGUUAUAAAUCUUAUUAUAAUAUUUUUAAAAAAUUAAUAAUAUUUUUCAAACAUAAUUGACAAACAAUUAACAAUUCAUAAUAAAUAAAUAUUUUGGAGUAAUUUAAUAAAUGCGACUAACAAUAUUUUCUAUAAAUUGAUUUUUGGUAUUAGAAAUAAUAAUAUCAUAAUACUAGAAAAAGCAAAAAACGAUUAUGGUUCAGUCCAAUAGAGUUUGAGAAGAAUCGAUCGAAUCGAGCGAUUUCGAUCCUAUAAUGGUUCGGUCCAAUGAUUCUGAUAAUUUUUGUCAACUCCAUCUAUAAUUAUAAUACUUUUCAACAGAAUUUUUUUAUAUCUUUUUUUUCUUGAGGAAAAUUACUUUAAAAACUACAAUUAAAGACUAAUUAUCAUAAAUAAGGGGAUUAGUUUAAGCCCUCUGUUUGGUGGGAUUAAAAUUAAAUUUUUAGUAGAUUUUGAUAAAAGUUGAUUAAAUGUGUAGUUGAAAAAUUGUAAAAUCUAUAAAAUAUAAUAUUAAAAUUAAUUGUUAACUUUGACUUAAAUUAAAAUCUAAAUUCUAAUCACAACCAAACAUGGCUAAAUUUCAAAUAUCAUGUUAUAAUAACAUUUCAACAAUUAUAAUUAACAAAAUUUAAUUAAACAUGAUAUCCAUAUUCAUUCACCCCCAAAAUUCAUGGGGCUUUUAUUUAAAAAGUUUAGUCAAAAAAAAGAUUAGUUUAUAAAGUCCACAAACUAAGAGCCCGUUUGAGAGUGAUUUUGAGAAUUGAUUUUUUGACUGUUAGGAGAAAAGUGAGGUCCACCUAUGAGAGAAGAAAUCAAAUAUGACGGCUAGAUAGUGAAAUAACAGUAAAAAAAUCAAUUUUUUGGGUGAAAAAAUCGGGCCCAAACAGGCCCUAAGUUCUUUGGGUAAAAGACCUAAAGAUAUGGAAAAUGAAAAAGCGGCUCUGCUCAGCCAAAAACGCUGAGACCAUUUUUAUUCGAGCCGGCCCAUGCUUCAAGUUUUGGUUUUUGGCUCAACUUAACUCAUUGACAUUCUUAUGUAUUUGGUGCCCACCAACACGUGUCUGUGAUGCAAUGCAAUUCCCGAGGCAAUCCUAAGGCUAUAAUUCCAGAAUUUAUCUCUUACUCUCAGUUAAUCAAGCGGUCAAUAAUUCAUGAAAAAUUGUGUAAGAAUUGUGAGAAGCAAAUGUCAGCAGGGUCCACCACACAUGUGAAUCCAACGUGUCAGAUUUUUUUUAUUAUUUUAUUAUUUUUGGUUUAACAUCAAAAAAUAGGGAAUCCAAUGUACAAUAUAUGAACACCUAUUCAUGAAUGGUAGGAGAUAAUUUCUAUCCAAUGUAUUAUAGCAUGUAUUGAAAAGUGAUUAUAAAUAAUUAUAAAGCGUAAAAAAAUGUUGCCAUUAUUUGUUUAUUUAUCACUUAUAUUUAUUUAUGAACAAAACCAUUUAUAAAUAUUUUUCAAACAAGCUGUAAAAUUAUUUUAUUCGUAUUUAUAAAUAACUUUAUUCAUAUAUAAAAUUUAUAUUAUUCCAUUAGUAUCAUAUAUAAAAUAUUAGGUGCACCAUAUUGAAAUUAUAUUCAUAUACGUGUAUACUUGAUUUAGAUAGAGCAAUAUUUGUCACAUAAAAUCCAUAAAUUUCGAAAAAUAAAAAUAAAAAUUAUGCAUGAGUAAAUGUUUAAGAAAUUAGAGAUGGACAAAACUUUCGAAUCGAAUCGAGUGGUUCUUUUUUAAGUUAAAUACCCAAAAUGUACUUGAAUCGAGAACUGACAUAUUUGGUUUGAUUCUAAGUUCUAGAAGAAGAAUCGAAGAAUCGAAUCUCCCUGAUAUUUUAAAUUUAUUUAUCUUAAAUAACUCAAUUUAUUAUUUUUUAAAAAUAAAUUUGUUAACAAUUAAUUUAGCCAAAAAACCCAAAAUAUGAUUUUUCUAUUUCUAAUUUUCAACUCAAGUCCAUGUUAAUCAAAUCGACCUAAUUUUUACCAAAAUUUAUAAUUCUAACGUAGUGUCAUUUCUUCAAUUCUAGAACAAUCAAACUGAAAGCUUGGUUAUACCUCUCUAAGCUCUCUUCAUUGUUAUGAGCUCGCUAUUUUUAUUUUAUUGUGAUUUUAACAAUCAAAUAUAUGAAUAACUCAACAAAGAGAUACGCAAGAGAUAGACAAAUUGGACUAUGUUAUUUUGUAAGAACUAAAAUUAAAUAUAUCAUUAGUUGAAUUAAUAUAGUAUUGUAAAUAUUAAAAAAACUUAAUCAUUGUAUGGAUCUCAGAAACUGAAUGGAAUCGAAACCUAAUUGAAUUGAAUGGAAUCGAACCUGAACUGUUCCAUAAUUAAAUUUCGACCAACGAUUCUAUUUAUUACAUACUCGAAAAUUCAGAUUUGAUUCAGUCCUCUUUAAAACCGAAUUGGAUCAUUUCCAAUCCUAUAAGAAAUUAUGAUCAUAUCUUUUUUCUUAAUGGAAUCAACAAAUUUCGUUUCUCUUUAAAUAUUUUUUUUAUUAAAAUUAUAUGUGAUUACUUAUUUGAUCCAAACAAUACUCCGCAUGUGAUUGCUGUCCCUUUAUUAAUGGCAAAUGAAUGGUUUCGUUAGUAUUUCAAUGAUCAACUUCUUCCAUAAUUAUAUCUAUACUGCCUAGUAUCAUCAUAAUAUCGGUUUAAUAUAUAAAUAGGUGAAAACUACAUAUGAAAUUAUAAACAAGUAAAUAAUAUUUAUUGAUCUAAUAUUGUAUGAGUAAAAUAAAUUUUGUCAACCGGAGGCUAUGUAAGAACCAAUUGAUGCUAUAAAAUAAUUUCCUUUGAAUUUAUCGGUUCAAGUUAGUCAUUAAAUAUUUACUUUUAUUUUACCAUGUCUUGCUAUAUUAAUGGAGAUGUGAAUAAGCUCCUAUUCAAGCCACGGUUAUACACUAUAUAUAUAUAUAUAUAUAUAUAUAUAUUUUUUUUUUUUUUUUAAAAAUUUAUUUUCAAUCACACAUUCUUCCAAUAAAAUAGUUUUACACAUAAAUCCAAAAAUUUUUCAUAUUUUUUAACUAUACAUUCUCCAAAAAAAUCGCUGUUACAAAAUCCAUUCUUUAAGAAAAUGGGGUCUCAAACAUACACUAUGAUGUAGGAACGAUACACUAGCACGAUAUUUUUACCAUCUAGCUAACCCAAAAGUAGAUUUAAAAUAUGCUUUUAUGUUAAUGGCUCUCAUUCUCUUUCAUUUUUUUCCUUCUUAUUUUCAACCACAUAAUAUUCUAUAAAAUAAUAUUACAUGUAAAUCGAAAACUUUUCAUUCUUUUUCAACCACACAUUUUUCAAAAAAAAUGCUAUUCCAAACAUUAAAAUUUAGAAAAAAAAAAUGAGGGUCAAACGGGGGCUAAAAAUUUCGAAGUUACAUACCUGAAAUUCAAAUUCAGCCAUCAAAGUUAUAUGCAAGCAGUCCCUUGUUUGGACUAACCCAGAGCGAAGGUAGCAAGUAUGGCUUGCUCGACUUGGCUCUCUAACUUAUAAGUAACUAGACGAGUCACAUGCUUUACAGCUUUAUGUGUGAAUCAGAAGUCCAAAAACUAGACAAGUUAGUGGGAUCAGUUUGAUUAAUAAUUAAUCUCGAGUACAUGGAUUAAUUUCACAGGGGUCUGCCAGGUCCCUCACUGUAGCAUGUCCUCACAUGAAAAGAAAAAGAAAAAAAAAAAAAAAAAACUACGAUGGACCCCACUGUGUAUGUGUCCUGGCAGGGGACCUGUUUCACAGGUCCUUCAAGCAGGAUUGAUUUAUUAAUGGCAAUAAACAUUAGUGGAAGACCAAAUCCAAAAUAUAUUCCAAUAUCAGAUUUGUGUUUAUCGUGCCGGACAAGGACUACAUUGACUUUAUCAAUUCAAUUAACUUUUAUGGGAGUUGAGUGUCGACUAAUUUUCUACAUUUCACUAUUUUAUUUGGGGCAUCUCAUAUCACAAGAAACGAAAAAUUCAAUCGUUGAAUACAAUUGUAAAAUAAUUCCACAUUCAUCUCAAUCUAUUAUUUUCAUUCCAUUUUUCUCUUUUUUAUUUUCAACUACACAAUCUUCCGUAAAAUAAUAUUCCAAGUAAACUGAAAACUUUUUCUUCCUUUUCAACCACUCAUUUUUCAAAAAAAUAUCAUUCCACCCAUUUUUAUUUCCAAAAAAUGGGGUCAAACGGGAGCUUAAUGGACUAGCUUCCUAUCUUGACCGUACCAAGCCUACCAUGCCCAUGUAUAGAUUAAUGCUUGGCCAAUUGUGUUAAAAAAUAAAAAAUAAACCAGCCUAAGCAAUUUAUAGGCAACAACAUUAAAAGGGAGACAUCAAAAGAGAUCAAGCUACAAAAAUCUGGCAGCCCAUAUAAUCAAGCAUUAGCUACCAUCUGCUCAUGAAUGUCAGCAUGCAGGCUUCCUUCUUCGCUGCCAGAAGGUUCUUCAUGUGCUGCUUCUGCAUCUGCUCCAUCGUCUCUUUUGCCGGACCAACCAUACAUUUUUCUCCGGCCAUCCCCACGUGCUGCUCGCUCAGCUAAUUUGAUUUCUCUAAAUUGCUCUUCUAAACGAUCCUCAUCUUCAGGUGUGAAGAAAACUACCUCCAUCUCCCCAAGUUGUUCGUACAUCUUAUCAACUUUCGCUUUCCAGAAGAGGCCCAUCUCUGCGUCCAUCUUGUGGUACGGAGUUUUCAGCAAGUACUUGUCAAUCCCGCCUGCCUUAUCGAUGCAGCGGAUAGCGUGCGUGGUUACCUUAACACGAAUGUGGCGAUCAAGAAUGUAGCUGAAGAGUCGUUUCUCCUGCACAUUAGGCUUCCAAUUCCUCCUCGUCCUAUCAUUGUCAUCAAACUAAUAAGAUUCAGAGUGCAAUAUCUUUCAUUAUUUCAUGGACGAGAGUCGAAUAUGCAUAAUGGAACUAGAAAAUAACUUUCCACCAUGCUAACAGAAAUUUAUCAUAUCAUUACAAAUUACUAACUAUACAAUAAUUGCAAGUCAAUCACAACAAUUUACCACAAUACACUUAGCCAAUAUACUAAUUCACAUUGAGGAUACCAAUCUUGGACAGUCAGCACUUAUAAAUUAUAAAGGGUUCUACUUAGUGCAAGUGCUGUACACUUUUACAUUCCCCUCACAAUGAGGAGACCCACAAAUUUUUUAUUCAUGUGGACCCCCCUUAACAUGUGAGGGGACUGUACACCAUGGUGUACCAAUGGUUUUACCUUAUAAAUUAUGUCAAAAGUGGGAAGAUCUCACACUUUAGAUCCUAAUGUUUUCCCCCAUUUUCAAUCAUAAAUAUCAAUAAAACCGAGAGUACAGGCCAUACAGACAUUUUAAUUUAGUUUCACUUAAGUUGUGAUAUUUUGUGCCAAAGAUACACGACAUAUGCCCAAAAGAGUGUAUGCUGUAUUUAUUUGGAAACAAAAGAAGGGACAGCUAAGAGUACAUGUUAUACUGUCAAAAAUUGUUUAGAAAAAACCAAAUGAUACCCGCUUUAAGGCCCUCCUCAAAGUGAGUUGAACAAAAGGCCUCAAGGCCCUAAUAAUGAGGCAGUUUUUGGAGUUGUACGCCGCACAGCACCACCUCAAAGGCUUGUGGUCCGUAAAACAUAAACAUUUGUGAUAAACCCAUUUUUGAGAAUAGCCCGCUAAAACAUAAAACACUUUGGGUACAGUCCACUGCCCCUACCAACUAAAAUAAUUUUCUAUAUAGUUUUUUUUUUUUUUUUAAUUUGUUUGCACAGUUUAAAUUGUUCGAUUAUGAAUUUUGAAGAUUGUUUAUGACAUAUUAUGAACUUAUUUUGGCAUUUUAAUAUCUUUUUGGUUUACUAUGAGGCUUAAGCUUCGCAUCGUGAAGGAAAAAUGCCUGAGUACCCAAUUACGUCUUUUUAAACAUUGCGGUCAAAUUCCAAAAUGGUAUCAGAGUAGACGUAUUAUACUUGCCAUUCACAAACCAUGUAUACACGGGCCAAAGUUGUAGAUAACCAUUUGCAGAAACUGGAUUUAGAGGUUGCAGAUAUGGGUAAAGCCUUCAAAGCUGUUACCAACAAACUGGAAGCCAGAAUGGAGUCUUCAGAGCAAACACUUCAGGUACUUUGUCAUAGGCAAAUGCUGUAUUAGACAUAAAUCAAAAGUAUGAAAAAUUAGCGACUAUAAUGGCCCAAAUGACUGCUGAUUUUGAAGCUGAAAAGGAGAAUAAGAGUGUGGAAGGAUCCAUGACUAACAUUAGAUCUGGUAGUAUGUUAACCAUACAAGGAAGUAGUGGUCGAGAGAAUAGUAGCCGUUCUAGACGUAGAAUCAGGGAAGGCACUAAUCUACCUAAAAUUGAUUUCCCACACUUGAAGAGGGACCUAAAGAAUGGUUGAGGGGAGCCAGAAAAUACUUCCAACUCCGUCAGAUUUCUGAUGAACUGAGGCUGGGAAUGGCUGAGAAGUACUUGACGGGGAAAGCAGAUAUAUGGUUUGAUGGGUUCAUUGCCAGUCACCCUAAAGCAGACUGGAGCUUGUUUUCUGAGAAGCUUUGCAGUAGGUUUUCGGAAACUACUGGGGAAGAUGUGGUUGAGACAUUUAGCAAAAUUAAACAACUGGAAACAAAUGAUGAUAAAGGCUCUGAAUCAGAACGUGAGGAGAUCAUGGAGAUAUCCAUUAAUGCAGUGGUUGGGAGGUGGAAACACCAAACCAUUAGAGGUUCUAGAAUGAUCAAAGGGAGGAAGGUGUCCAUACUGAUUGACAGUGGGGAUAUUAAUAGCUUUGUUGAUGAGAAACAAUUAGGGAAUUGAACUACGCCACUGAUGAGAACAACUGAGUGAUCGUUAGGGUAGUCAAUGAUCACAAACUGGAAAGUAAAGCUGCAUAUCAACUAGUGGUUUGGAAGGUAGCAGGGAAUUUCAAUACAAUCUCAAAACUCUUAAGCUUGCAGGAAGUGACAUGAUGUUAGGAGAAAAAUGGAUUCACAAAUUUGGUCCAAUCAACUUUGACUAUGCAAACGAGCGUAUUAGAUUCAGGAAUAAUAAUGCAGUGGUGGAUUUGAAGAGUGAAAUUUCAAAACAUCCUGUCAAAAUGAUGAGAGUAGAAGGGAUAGAGAGAAUGUUAGGUAAGGACCCAUAUGGGAUAGUGGGACAGUUCUACACUAUCAAGGAGGAGAAAGGUGGGGAUAUACCUAACAAGAUAAAUGAAGGUUAUUCACAAAUUUCCAACGGCGUUUGAAGAACCAACAGAAUUACCCCCUCCUAGGUCACAUAACUCCCAUAUGCCAUUGAAAGAAGUGGCACAGCCAUUUAGAAUGAAACCUUAUAGAUGUGUGUAGAAAUUGGGUUGCUGCCUUUUUGAAGCCCAAAGUUAAUAUGCCCAACCCAAGACCCGGUUUAAUGGCCCAAAAGAAAGAAUAAUCUGGAAGCUCAAUUGGUUUAAAGGAAAAACACGUUUUUCAGUUGUGAAAAACACGUUUUUCAGUUGUGAAAAACGACUUUCACUAGAUCUCGACAUUUGGCAAUUGCUGGACCAUUGAAUCAAAUGAUUUGUUUCUUUCAUAUAAAAGAAACUAAAACGCCUAGGGUUUGCUUGCUCUCAUUUUACGCAGCUUUCCUUUGAGUUAAAAAUUCUCUCUAUACUUUGGCUCUCUCAUCUUGGAUCUUGUCGAUUUUCUGUUGUUGGUUGAGAAUAUGUGUGAUGUUAUGAACUCUUGUGUGAGUUCUUCGUGUUGUUGAGGGGAUUUUGUUGUUGUUGUAGCUGGAAUUGUGUGUUCCGUUUGUAACUCAAAACUGCUAUAAUUUUGGGCUGGUGAUUUAGUGAAUUCGAGCUUAUUCCUUCAUGGAUGCUCAACGGGGACUAGGCGAUCUGACAAAUCGCUGAACCUCGAGGCUUAGGCCAAAAAUCGCUUGUGUUCUUUUACUGUUUUUCAGAUCUACAAAUCUUGAGGCGAUCUGACAAAUCGCUGAACCUCGAGGCUUAGGCCAAAAAUCGCUUGUGUUCUUUUACUGUUUUUCAGAUCUACAAAUCUUGAGGCGAUCUGACAAAUCGCUGAACCUCGAGGCUUAGGCCAAAAAUCGCUUGUGUUCUUUUACUGUUUUUCAGAUCUACAAAUCUUGAUUUUUAGUUUUGCGAUUUUUGAUGGUUUUAAAACGUUCCUAGGUUCCUACAGUGAUAUCAAAGCUUGGAAUUUUUUUUUCUUUGCUGUUUUCAGUCACGUUUUUAGUUGAGGAUCUAAAAUUUCGUUCACUGGCCGAAAGGAAAACGACAGAUCUUUCAAGAUCUACCAACAUUAUUUUUUAAAUUUUCUCCAUUUUUCUUUUGAAUAAUCAGUGUGGGUGUCGCUUUUCUUUAAGAAAUCGAAGUUUUUUUGUUGGUUGUGGAGUCCUCUUAACUCCGGCUGGCGCUGUUUUUAUAACUGGAAAGAAAGUUCUUGAUACUGUAGGACUUGAUCACCUGCAGUGUUGGUGUUGAUCUUCGUUUACAAAAUAAAAAAAGCCUAUUGUGUUUUGUAAAUGCUGCAGUAUAGUGAUAACCUUUGAGUAUAUUGUAAGCAGUAAGCUAACCUGUUUCUUGGUGAAAUUCACAGACGCUCCUUGUCUGUUUUGUGGUACUUACAAUCUGCAGACAUUGAAUUUGUGAUUAAUAAGAUUUUUUGUAUUGAAUUGUUGGUACAUUUAGUUCUUGGGAGUAUUGUUUUGGUAAUAAAAUCAUUUUUCUAAAACUAGAGUUUUACAGAACCUCCUCUAACUCUACCUCUGUCUAGGGUUCCCUGAGAGAACCCUAGAAACUUUGGGGAUUAGGGCUUCGGUUCAAGAAACCUGGAAUCUUCAAAAUUGUUUUUAAAAAAAAUAAAAAAUUCUCACUGUGUGUAGAUAAUAAAACCAAAAAUUAUAUUUCCAUAAUUAAAUUCUUGUACAUUCUAUGUAAAUUGUACUAAUACUUAAAUUGAUCUUCUCAGGUGUUGAACUGCCUAAGAAUAAUUGCUUUAAAGGUACAUACAUUGCAUUUACAAUUUUUGGUAACUUACUGUGUGUAAGUUUAUGUGAUUAAAUUCAUUGCAUGCUUAGUGAUCUGUAUAUUGAAUGUGUCUUAAUUUGGUUGAAAUACUUCUGUACAUAUCACACUUAAACAUAAUCUAUACAUAAUCUAAAAUUGAAAUAAUAAGACAGUGAUCUUUGUGACAUACUGUUGACUGAAUUACCAUGUGAUAUAUCUGUUUUAUCAUACUUGUGAACAAUUUCACACUAUAGCACACCAUGAACUCUAAGGUAGAUGUCCAAAUUUGGGAUGGCAAAGGAGACUUUAGUCUCUAGCGUUAGAAAAUAAAAGCACUUAUGUUACAGUUAAAAUAUGCUAAGGCUAUUGAUGAAUUUUGACCAGAAACCUUAUCUGAAGCUAGGAAAACUGAACAAGAUGAACUAGCUUGGAGCACUUUGUUUCUACACUUAUCUGAUACUGUGAUUAGGAAAGUAGGAGAAACUAAAACUGCCGUUGAAUUGUGGACUGCCUUAGAAAAACACUACCUCACUAAGACUGUACCAAAUAAAUGUUUUCUUUGGAGACAGUUUUUUAGUUUUAAGUUUGAUUCUAAUCUUGAUACGGGAUAUAAUAUGGAUAGGUUUAAUAGGAUCACACAAGACUUAGCAAACUAUGAUGAGAAAAUUUCUGAUGAACAGAAGGUAGUUGGCCUACUUAAUGCUCCAGGAGAUAAAUAUAAAGACAUAAGAAAUGCUCUAAAGUAUGGUAGGAGUGAUCUCAUUGUUGAAAUAAUUCACAAUCCUCUUCUGAAUAAAGAACUUGAAUUAAAAUCUGAACACAGAGAAGUGUUCCAUGUUGAGGGUGUGUCAUCAAACCAAAAACCACAUGUUAAAGGAGUAAGUAACUUCAGUCAUUCCAAUUUUAACAAGAACAAAAAUUUUAACAAAAGGCAAUGAAAUAACACCAAAGGAAAAGGCAAGAAUCCAAUUAAAGGAAAAGCGAAUAGCAACAGUAAUAGUAACAGAAAAUGCUUUUACUGUGGAAAAACAGGUCACUUUAUUAAAGACUGUUUUAAAAAGGCAAAUGACCAAAAGAAUGGGUUUAACACUAAAAAUGCUUCUUUAGUAGCUGCUGCUGCUAAUUAUAAAGAAGUAGGAGCAAAUAUUGGAGUUGCCUAUGUGUCUAUAUCUGAAAAUACUGAUCAAGACUGGGUCUUGGAUUCAAGUUGUUCCUUUCAUAUGACACCCAAUAUAGGCUGCAUUUCAGACUUUUGUAGUUUGGAUGGAGGAUUUGUAAAACUUGAGAAUGAUGAGUCAUGCCAAGUGAAGGGAAUUGUAAAUGUGUUGUUGAAAUUUAAAAAUGGUCAUUACAUGUUGUUAAAACAUACAAGAUAUGUACCAGCACUUAGAAGAAAUCUCAUAUCCCUAAUAGUUCUUGAUUAUGAAAACUACCAAAUUGGUAUUAAAAAUGACUUUACAAAUAUAACAAGAAAUCAAGAACUUAUUGUCAGUUCACCUAAACUUAAUGAAAUUUAUGUAAUAGGUGCUGAAAUAAUUUCACCUAAAAAUUCUGUGAAUUUUGUCACACAUCCCGAUAAAUCAGAACUGUGGUAUAAAAGACUUGGCCACUUGAGUGAAAAAGGUUUUAAAACACUAUCAUAUCAAAGAGCAUUUGGAAAGGAUAGUGUUCAAAAAAUGACUUUUUGUGAACAAUGUAUCAUGGGAAAACAAGUCAGACUACCUUUUAAGGCAGGGUUGCACAAAUCCCAAGAUGUCAUUGAAUACAUACAUUCUAAUUUAUGGGGACCUGCACCUGUUCCUACUGUAUCUAGUUACAGGUAUUAUCUUCUUACAACUGAUGAUUAUUCAAGAAAAACAUGGAUUUUCUUACUAAAAUAUAAAUCUGAUACUUUUACCAUUUUUAAAGAAUGGAAUGUACUGAUUGAAAAUCAGACUGGUAAAAAGAUAAAAAUUUUAAGAACUGACAAUGGGCUUGAAUUUUGCAAUACCGAAUUUGAUCAAUAUUACAGUAAACAAAGGAUAAUGAGACAUAAAACUGUAAGCUUUACUCCCACAACAAAAUGGGAUUGCCGAGAGGUUAAAUAGAAUGAUUCUUGAAAGGACCAGAUGUAUGUUAAUCAGUUCUGGCUUUCCAAAAAUUAUCUAGGGUGAGGCUGUAAAAACAUCAUGUCAUCUUAUCAAUAGAUGUCCUUCCAGCUCUCUAAAUAACAGAAUUCUCGAACAAAUAUGGCCUGGUUCAAUGCUAGACUAUUCUCACCUAAGAACCUUUGGAUGUGCAGCUUAUGCACAUCAUACUGAGUCAAAACUGGACCCUAGAUCAUUGAAGGGCGUGUUCUUAGGAUAUGAAGAAGGUGUUAAAGGCUAUAGACUGUGGUUAAGAGAUGUAAGGGGUUAUAAGGUGAUAACAAGCAGAUCUGUUAUCUUUAAUGAAGAUGAUUUCCCUUGUCUUAGUGACAAAUCUGGUAAAAAAUUGGGAAAAGAUGACUUCAUUAUCACAGAAAUUAAUUUUGAUAGCCAAAAUAUUGAUGACCAGGCUCAGUUUGAGGUGGAGCCACAUCACGUAGAACCACAGAAUGUCUUUGAUUUUGAAAUAUUGGAAGAUGAACAGCAUCUGGAGCCUGCACAUGACCUGCAAGGCUACCAGCUAGAGAUAGAGAAAGGAGAAAAUAAGACCUCCUUCCAGGUAUCAGUAUGCUGAUUUUGCAUCUGAUCAGACUGAAUCUGAUCUCUUUGACAUAGAACCAGCCUCUUAUGAAGUGGCUAUUUCUUUCAAAGAAUCCCCUAAGUGGAUUGCUGCGAUGGAAGAUGAAAUGAACUCACUCUUUAAAAAUGAAACCUGGACUUUAGUUGAAAAACCAAAAGAUUGUAAACUGAUUGACUGUAAAUGGGUUUAUAAGAUUAAAGAGGGUGAGACUAAGGCUAGUGAUAAAAGAUAUAAGGCAAGACUUGUAGCUAAAAGCUUUAAUCAAAGGGAAGGGAUAGACUAUACUGAAAUCUUUUCACCAGUUGUUAAAUAUACAUCCAUUAGAGUCCUACUUGCUAUAGUGACACAAUGUGACUUAGAGUUAGAACAACUUGAUGUGAAAAUUGCCUUCUUGUAUGGUUCGUUAGAUGAAACCAUACAUAUGACUCAACCAAGAGGGUUUGACGUGGAAGGAAAGGAAAACUUAGUGUGCCUCUUAAAGAAAUCCUUGUAUGGUCUAAAACAGGCCCCUAGGCAGUGGUACAACAGAUUUGACUCUUUUAUACAAGGUUUGAACUUCAAGAAAUCAGAAUAUGAUCCCUGUUUAUAUUAUAAGAAAGAAGGUGAAUCUGAUUUUUUCUAUCUGCUUUUGUAUGUUGAUGAUAUGCUCCUUGCUGGUUAUAAUUCUGAUGCACUUAACUCAAUUAAAGAAAAUCUAAAAUCUGAUUUGAAAUGAAAGAUUUAGGACCAGCUAGAAAGAUUUUGGGCACGGAAAUAAAAAGAGAUAGAAUAAAUGGAAAGUUGUUUUUAACACAAAAAUCUUAUGUUGAUAAGGUUGUUAAAAGGUUUUCCCUUUAUGAAUCUAAGCCUGUUAGCUUGCCUUUAUCUGCCGGUAUGAAAUUAUCUGUUGAUCAAUCGCUGAAAACUGAAGAAGAACAUAAAAGAAUGAUGAAUGUUACGUAUUCUAAUGCUAUUGGAUCUGUAAUGUAUGUUAUGGUAUGCUCUAGACUUGAUAUUGCUUAUACUAUGAGUGUGUUAAGUAGAUUUAUGAAUAACCCAGGUGAAAUACAUUGUCAAUGCAUGAAAAAUCUGAUUAAAUAUUUGAAAGGAACCAGUAACUUAGGCUUAAUGUUCAAAACUAAUAAAAAUGGACUUAGACUUAAGAGAUAUAUAGAUUCAGAUUUUGUUGGUAACCCGGACAAUAGGAAGUCUACAACAGCAUAUUUUUAUGUUAUAAAUGAUACAUGCAUUAGCUGAAAAUCCAAGCUUUAAAAAUUGGUUGCAUUGUCUUCAACCAAAACUAAAUACAUUGUUGCAACUGAAGCAGUUAAGGAGGGUUUAUGAUUAAAGGGUUUACUUAGUGAAUUAGGACUUAUAGAAAAUCAGGUGGAGUUGUGUUCAGACAACCAAAAUGCUAUUUUUCUAAGUAAAAAUCCUAUUUUGCAUGAUAGAUCCAAGCAUAUAGAUAUAAAGUUCCAUUUUAUUAGAGAUAUCAUUGAUAAGGGUGAUAUUAGAUUGAUCAAAAUACCUACUAAGGUAAAUCCAGCAGAUGACGGAACUAACGUAAUCCCUAUUAGUAAGUUUGUUGAUUCUUUAAGAUUAAUUAAUCUUGAAGAAGACUGAUUUUCAUUAUUUUAUUUUUAUAGGUAAUAAGAGCAAAUGAAAUGAAGAUAAGUUUUGAAUAUACAAAAGCAGGCACAAAAGACAGCAAAGGUGGAGAAUGUAGAAAUUGGGUUGCUGCCUUUGUGAAGCCCAAAGUUAAUAUGCCCAACCCAUGAUUCGGUUUAAUGGCCCAAAAGAAAGAAUAAUCAGAAAGCUCAAUUGGUUUAAAGGAAAAACACGUUUUUCAGUUGUGAAAAAUGACUUUCACCGGAUCUCGACACUUGGCAAUUGCUGGACCAUUAGAUCAAAUGAUUUGUUUCUUUCAUAUAAAAGAAACUAAAACGCCUAGGGUUUGCUUGCUCUCAUUUUACGCAGCUUUCCUUUAAGUUAAAAAUUCUCUCUGUACUUUGGCUCUCUCAUCUUGGAUUUUGUUGAUUUUCUGUUGUUGGUUAAGAAUAUGUGUGAUGUUAUGAACUCUUGUGUGAGUUCUUCGUGUUGUUGAGGGGAUUUUGUUGUUGUUGUGACUAGAACUGUGUGUUCCGUUUGUAACUCAAAACUGCUGUAAUUUUGGGCAAUUGAUUUAGUGGAUUCGAGCUUAUUCCUUCAUGGAUGCUCAAUAGGGACUAGGCGAUCUGACAAAUCGUUGAACCUCGGGGCUUCGGCCAAAAAUCGCUUGUGUUCUUUUACUGUUUUUCAGAUCUACAAAUCUUGAUUUUUAGUCUUGCGAUUUUUGAUGGUUUUAAAAUGUUCCUAGGUUCCUACAAUGUCCUUUUAUUCAGGAAAAAAAUAAAGAGGCUAGUGGUAGGGUUGUGGAGCUACAAAUUAAACCAACAGUUAAAGGAAAACCUUUCACAAGUAAGUACAAGUGUGAAGCUUUAUGCUGAUAAAAAGAGAUUAGAAAAUUCAUUGGUGGAAGGUGAUUGGGUGUUUCUGAAGCUACACUCCUAUGCACAAAAGUCAGCGGAACACGAAGCUAACCAUAAACUAAGUGCUAGGUGUUUUGGCCCAUAUCAAGUUAUUAAGAAGGUAGGAGCAAUAUCCUAUCAAUUGGCAUUACCUAGAGGCUCAAAAGUCCAUCCAAUCUUCCAUGUGACACUACUGAAGAACAAGUUGGGUGAUAACAGUAUGCCAUUGCUGCAACUACCUGAAGAAAUUCGACCACAGCAGACAGAAUAUUACCCUCUUGCCAUCUUGCAGUCCAGGACGGUGAAACGCAAGAAACACACAGCACUUCAAUGGCUUAUACAUAGGUCAAAUUCUCCGCUAGACAGUGCAACUUGGGAAGACUCAGAUUGGAUUAAAUUCCAGAUUCCUAUUUGUAGAUCUUGGGGACAAGAUCAAGGUGACAGGGAGGGUUAUUAUGUGAGACGUAGCUGGGAAAGAGGAAGCACAAAAAAUGAAAGCGAAGAAGGAAACCAGACCAAAGGAAGAAGAAGAAGGACCAACAGAACUAACUACCAUUUUAAAUGCUAGUUAGAAAACGUUUUUUGCUACCUUCCUUUUUGUGAAAGACAAUUUCCACUAUGAGUGUAUAUAUACAUCCAUGUGCGAAGAUCUGUGGGUUGUCGAAUUCUGUUAUGCAAUUUCAGUUAAUCAUGUAUUGAUUCUUCAAUUCAUUUUAUCUCUCAUCUCUUCUCAAUUUUACAACCUCUUUCCCUACCCCAAUUUCUGUUUUUGUUCAUUUAAUUGGUUAACACUCAGCUCACUUCAACUGAGUUCAACUUUUGGUAAGUUACGGUUAAGGACAAACAGAAUUUAGAGUCUAACUCGUGACAAUUCUGUAAUUUAAUGUCAACAGCUUAUAGUAAGGUGAGAUUCUAAGUGACAACAAGUAACAAUGACCAAACGAGUUGUUUAAAAAAAAAAAGGUCUCAAGAAGAGAGUAGUAUUCAGAAUCUACUCCAAAAUAUAGGGAUGUUUCACCAGCUCUUAAAAGCAAUGCUUUUAUAGAAGUUCUAAAAUCUAAUUAAUGUAGAGUAAUAGCUCUUCUUUGCACCCCUGACUUGGUACAUUUUUAUCAAGCCACUAUGACUUUUCCACCACCUGUCAUUAUGAUAUAUCAUGCAUGUAAAUCAGUGUUGAGCUCUUAGGAGACUAGAAAAACAAUAAAAAGAACAACUUGUAUUCAUUAGUAUUAAGAGACGCAUCAUCUAAUAUAACUAAAGAAUUAAUUACCUUAGUCGUCAGUCAAGUGAGUUAGAGAGAGAUGCUCUCAACCUAGUGAGAGAAAAUCCCACUUGGUGCAAACUUGCCUAGGAGUUUUCUUGUGUGUUCUCUUGUGUUUUAGUUUGAUUUUUACUAAUCUUUGGUGAAAAUUGAAUUAAUACAUAUUGAUUUCUGUUUAUGUUAUGCUCUUUGUGAGUUUUGAAGGAUUUUCAGCCUCUAUUUUCAUCUUCUUCAGAGCUCCAGGUUGAUCCUUUAGGUUCGGUUUUCAUACUUUCCUUUUGGUUGGAACUUUUUCAUUCUAUCUUGGUGUGGAUUUGGUUUGUGGUAUUGCUAGUCGUCCAAGGUAUGCUGAAGUUCUCUGGUUUUCAGUUUGCUUCUAUUUGUUCUUGGUGCAUUUGUGUUCGGCCAGUGCCAUGCUGCUUGGUUUUCUGUUCAGUUUGGUUGUUUCAGAUUGGUCGUUGGUUUUUCUUCUUGCUAGAAACCUUCAGUUCUGUGUUGGUUCAGUUGGCAUUGCUUCAUUGUUACAGUUCUUUGUUCUGGAGGUUCAUUUUUCCUCUUUCGGGUUUUCCAUUGCUGGCCAGUUUUUUUCUCCUGUUUGGGUCUUCAUCUUCUUCAUUUCUGGUUAGGGCUGUUUGGUUAAUCUUUGUGCUACUUGGUUAAUCUUUCUGGCCGGUGUUCUGGUUUUACAGCAGUAUAUUGUUGUAUGUAUUGUGUAUCUAUCGAUUUUCUCAGGUUGUGUAUGCAUUUUUGCAUUUCACAUGUGAUUGGUUUUUUGAAUUUGGUCAGACUUUCCCUCUGAUUUUCUGCCUUGUUCAGUGUUAUUCCCUGAAUUGCAACUUCUAGCUUCUGUCUUUGGUGCUUUGGUGUGACAUUUUCAGUGGGUUGGUGGUUAGGUACCUAUUGUGACCCGUUUUCUGCUCUUCUUGGGCCGGGUUAUUGGGCUAUUCCUUCUUGGCCUGGUUUUUCUUUUGUCGCUGGAUUUUGGGCUGUUUUUCUUUUGCUGGAUUAUUUCUGUGUUGCUGGGCUAUUUUUCUUCUUGCUGGAUUAUUUUUGUGUUCCUCUUGGGCCGGCUUUCUCCUUUGCUGCUGGGCUAUUUUUUUUUUGUGGUUCUGGAUUUGUGAGCUGUGUUGCUGGGCUGUUAAUUUGGCUCGUUUCACUUGGUCUUUUUGCCUGGUUUGGGCUCCCUUACCGUGUGAACAUCCAUGGGUAAGAAGAAGUUAAAAUCAGGACUUCCCCCUUUGAACAUUAAAUCUGUUCAGUAGCCUCCUGCUGAGGUAGGUGUUGCCUCUCCGUUGAAGUUUAAAUCGGGGGAGCAUAAGGUGAUUAAUUUGCCUUCACCGAGUGUCUCUUUAACUCUUGGUGAGGAGGAUACUGAUUCUGAGCAUUCUAAUUUUGAUUCAAAUUUUGCUAAAUUGAUGAAUCAAAGUUCUGGAAAUGAGAUCGGUUUGGAUGGGGUUAUUGAGAAAAAAACCUCAUAGGUUAAUCUUUUUAAGGACAACCGUAAAUUAGAGGAAAAUAUCAAGUUGAAACCUUUCCAUAAUCAAUUGGAUGAGGUUGUGUUGGGUAAAUGUGAUGAAGAUAACAUUGAAAAUUCUUGGGGAUAUGGGUUGGUUGGAUACUUUGCCGGUAGGUUUCCGGGGAAAGUAGCUUUACUCCAAUUAUGUGAUUCUUGGAAGGUGAACUAUAAAUAUUAUGUUCACACUAGUGGUUGGUUGGUAUUCAAGUUUGAUACAGAUAGUGAUAGAUUAAGUGUGAUGUAUGGGGGCCCAUACUUAGUCUACGGGAGACCGCUCAUGCUCAAAAUCAUGCCACACUAUUUUGAUUUCAAUGAUAAAGAUGUGAGUACAAUGUCCGUGUGGAUUAACUUACCGGGUUUGCCCUUGGAAUUUUGGAACACUAAUGCCUUGGGUAAAAUUGUUUCAAAAGUUGGGAAACCAAUCUCAACAGACAAAGUGACGGCUACUAGAGGUCGACUUUCCUUUGCGAGAGCACUUGUUGAAGUUGAUGCCUCCAUUGAACUUGUGCGGGAGGUCAAGAUUAGGCUCCCCAAUGGCACGUUAAGGGAACAAGAAAUUGUUUUCGAGCAUGAACCAAAAUUUUGUGGUUCUUGUAAAGUGUUCGGUCACUCGACUACGGGUUGCAACAAUAAAAAUUCUGGUGGGGAGAAAGGUAAAGGUAAGGCUGCCGGUUCUAACCAAAGGAAAGAUGGACAAGAUGGAAAAUCAGCCUCUAAUGCCCAGAAGUCAGCUGAUCAGGUAGCGUGUAUGCAGCAACAAAUUGAGGAACAAAAUAUCAUGGCUUUGGAUGGGCAGAUUGGCCAGCAACAUCAUCGAAAUUCUAGGCAGCUUACUGUAGAAACUUUGGACAGCCAGCUGGUGGAUAAAACUGCCCAGGUUGAGGUGCCGUUUGAGAAGGUAGUGAGCAAGAAAAAUAGGGCUGUUGGGGGAAAAAUCUGCUCAUGUUCAGCCUGGAAAAUUUGGAAACGAUUUACCUACCAACUCCAUUGAAGCAAGCUCUUCUAAAGCUGGAAAUGAAAAGCUAAAAGGCAAAGUUGAGGAGAAAAAGAAGUCGGGAUUCGAGAAGAAGGGAACAUCCCUUGCUUUUUCAUCAUGGAGAUCGCUUCUUGGAAUAUUAGGGGCAUGAAUCCACCCCUCAAACAAAAUGGGAUUCGAGAGUUUAUAAAGCUUCAUAGCAUUGAUAUUAUGACAAUUUUGAAAACGAAGUUGGGGGACCGAAAGUUGAAUAGGAUUUUGUGGAAUAAGUUCGAUGGCUUUAUGCAAGUAAAUAAUUUUUGCACACAGAGUCGGAAGAAUCUUAAUUUUGUGGAAUCCAUCCAAAGUUUUUUUUGGAUGUAAUGGAGGUUCAUCCACAAAUUAUCCAUUGUAAAGCUACUUGAAAGGUAACUUUUUAUGCUUUUCUUGUGAGUUUUGUAUAUGGAUUUCACACUAUGGUAAACCGAAGGCCUCUUUGGAACACCAUUAUGGAGCUCAAUGAAAAUGUGUCGUUACCUUGGUUAAUU
RNAcentral lists this long non-coding RNA (72935 nucleotides) under Olea europaea (common olive). Its description in RNAcentral is "long non-coding RNA (OEUR_LNC011874)". The record is from RNAcentral. Lineage: Eukaryota; Viridiplantae; Streptophyta; Magnoliopsida; Lamiales; Oleaceae.